This 52687-nucleotide long non-coding RNA is filed under the name Eucalyptus grandis. Its description in RNAcentral is "long non-coding RNA (EGRA_LNC004622)". The record is from RNAcentral. Lineage: Eukaryota; Viridiplantae; Streptophyta; Magnoliopsida; Myrtales; Myrtaceae.
GUGAACGAUCACUACUUGUCGUGACUGGCAGCACCGAGGAUGCUAAGCCAGGAUUGCUAUGUUACUGUUAAUGGUGACUAUACAAUAUAGCUACAAGGCAAGCUGCAAAGAAGACAGAUUUGUGUUUAGAGAUGGGAUCCUAUGCUACCUUUUCACCAUGCCAAACGAGUAGGCUAAAACAUUGGUAAGUGAACCCUAAUUUAGGCGCUGUCGAAAGGCUGAAUGCGUCGUGCGCGCUUCGUGAGCGUUAAGCUAAAAGAUCAUCUUUACAUUGAUAUAAAUCAAGGCCUUGAUGUGAGCUUACGCCGACAUGUGCUAUAAUUUUUAUUUUAUUUUUUUGAAUGCGGAGGAUUUAAUGGACAUCGGGCAUUACUGGGGCAAGGUCGUCCUCUAACUUACCCCGAACUGCUCUUUCUUUAACACCGUCCAUUCUUUUUGCUCUUUAUUAAUUUAUAAAAUAUGAAAAAAAAUUGAUUUUAUUGUAUAAUUGAAAUUUUAUCGAGAAAAAGAUCCUUUUUUUUUCAAUUUCUGCUUUGACAAAAGAGAAAUACGCGAGUUGGAUCUUUCAAUUACUUUGUCGAAAAGGUAAUUACGUUAUAGCGUGUGGUACUCAUUGCUAUAAUUGGAUAACAAAAAUAUAUCCAUGGAUGUGGCUCUAUAGAUGAAAUCAUGCUGUUAUAUUGUUAUCGUGGUAAAGGAAAUAAUAGCUUUUCCUAAAAAAACUCGGUUAAAUGUGUGAUUUGAAACAUGACAAUUUGCGGCGAAAAUAAUAGCUUUUUUCAUCACCAACCUAAACUUAAAAUUCAUAACAUCAAUUUGGCGAAAAGAUCGGGAAAUUGUUAAACUGUACGACUUUUUGGGUCCAAUUGUUGCAAUAAAUAAUUAUUCCGCCGUUUAGAUGACACCUAUAUGCCCUCUAACAUUGCAAAUACAAUAAUUUUGAUGUCGUAUUAGCGAAAGCAUGAUAUUCAACUUUCGUGCUAGAUGGAGUGAUGAUGGUCUAUUUGUUGUUAUGCUAUAAGAUAAGCGAGAUACUUAGAAAGAAAUAGUAGCCUAUAAUAAAGUGAUAAUCAAGAGGGUCUCGUGACUAAUCAGUGUCUAAAUAUUUUGAUGAGUCCUUUUAGUUAAAAAGAUUGAACAAAAAAAAUGAUCUCCACUCAAUCCAUUGAAAGUAGGUGAAUCACUCAGUUUAAUGGAAGAACCGGUACAUGAAUAAUGGUUAAGGGACUUUUUCUCGGGGAAUACACUCAAAUCCAUUAAAUUACCAAUUUUUAUCCAUGUGUUUUCCUAUUUGUUUUGUUUUUUUUUUGGUAACUGAGGAGCCGUUAUGGGGUCGCCCUCCGAUGCCCGGUGGCACUAUUGGUCGUCGUCACAAGUCACUAUUUAGACGUAAAACCUCGGAAAGUUGGCCUAGUAAUCCACCCUAAGACCCCCAGUUAAGUCAUAGAAUGCAACGAGAGAGUUCAAACCCUCGACCUCGGCGAUGAGAAAAAGUAUGCACACCAUUUGCUCUGCCCAUGGGUGGGUAUGUUUUCCUAUUUGUUGAUCGUCAAUUAAUACAUUAUAUAUGUGCAUUACUAAUACUCACCAAUCUGCUUCUUCACAAUCCAUUUAUAACAUAUGACUUUAGCUAGCUACAUGUUGAGUCCUUGCUCAGGAGCACGAUGUAACUAAUAUUAAAUUUAUCCAUAAAUUUAUUAAAUAAUUAGGCAAAACUAAAUUGCUUGAUUAGGAUAGAUUGUUUUGUGCUAUAGGCUUUUUGUUGGCUUGGCAGUCGUUGGGCCACCAAACUUAUGAUUGACUUCAAUUCGAUUGAUCUGCGUGCCUCGUUUUGACAUGGAGAAAUAUUUUACAAGGUCAUCUUUCAUGAGAAUACACGAGCUCAAGAUUAUUAAAGGAGCGUCAAGUACUCUUAUAUGCUUGACUAGCUAUAUUUCCAUAAAUUUGCAAAUUGCAUUAAUGGUUGUUCGAUUUGUGAAUAAUCUAUCUUUAAUAAAGAAUCAUUUGUUUUAGCGUGCCAAAAUUAGAUCUGGCAAACUGGUAAGUCGAGGUUGAGUCGAAAAUGAUCCGAAUCAAAAUCAACCAAUUUUAUGUGUAAUAUAAAUUUAGUGAUUGGUAUGUGACUUAAGAUCAAUUCUAAAUUUAUUUUUUUCAUUAGAUUAUUGAUUUUUGAGAAAACGAGCGGUUUCAUAAAUCGACUCGUUGAAGAAGAAAAAAAAUUAAUUCUCGUUAAAAAUUUAAAAUUCUUUCUUGUUUUUGCUUCAAGUUCUCGUCCCGUGACCCACCGUCGGAACGAGGGCAUGAAAUUUGAUGAAAAGUCCAAGGAGAGAUAAGGGGCGAAGGAUUUAAACCUAACGUGCAGAUCGGACGGUCAGCAGGUUCUAAGCAAAUCGAAUCUAACGGAGGAGACAGCAGCGUCGGCUUAAAGCCAUGUUAGAUAGAAGAAAAAAAGAAAAAGGGAAAAUUAGCGUUGACCACUCCGCAUUUCUUCAAAAUUCUUCCAAAUUUGCAAAUUCCCUAUGGCGGGGGCGCUCGUCGGCGGGGCAUUUCUCUCGGCUUUCCUCCAGGUGCUCUUCGACCGGAUGGCCUCCCGCGAGGUCGUCGACUUCUUCCGGUCGCGCAAGCUCGGCAAGGGGAGGCUGCUGCAGAAGCUGAAGGCCGCGCUCCUGUCCGCGAACGCCGUGCUGGACGACGCGGAGGAGAAGCAGAUGACCAACGACCACGUCAGGAAGUGGCUCGACGAGCUCAAGGACGCCGUGUACGACACCGACGACCUGUUCGACGAGAUCGCCACUGAAGAUGUGAAGCGCGAAGCCGGGGUCGAGCCUCGGGCUCUCGUUUGUAAGGUCUGGAGCUUUGCUGCAGACGCUCGUGGGAGUAAAUUGGGGGAUGAGUUAGAGAGGGUUCUGGAGAGAUUGGAGAGCGUAGUGAAGCAGAGAGAAGUGCUGGGCCUAGGGGAAAUUAUUCGCGAGAGGACGCCUAGAGUGACGACUUCGUUGGUCGACGAAUCGGGAGUUUUCGGGAGGGAAAAGGACAGGGAGGCGGUGAUCCAGUUGCUCUUGUCAGAUCGGGGCCAAAAGAACACCAGCGUGAUGGCCAUCGUUGGGAUGGGCGGUGUCGGUAAGACCACGCUAUCUCAACUCGUGUUCAACGAUGGUGCGGUGAAGGGGAGUUUCGAGUUGAGGGCGUGGGUUUGCGUGUCCGACCAAUUCGACAUCUGCAAGCUGACGGCGACGGCUCUCGAGGAGUUCUCCUCCUCAUCUAAGAAGGAGACUGAAAAUCUCGACCAGCUUCAGCUCCAACUGAAGAACUUCUUGACAGGGAAGAAAUUCCUAUUGGUGUUGGAUGAUGUUUGGAAUGAGGACUCAAAUCUUUGGGAUGCGUUCCUAGUUCCUUUUAUCUAUGGAGCAAGAGGCAGCAAAAUCAUCGUGACGACACGAAAUAAGAGGGUCGCAUCGGUUGCUCGUGCCGUCUCGACAUACCCUUUACGGAAGUUGCAAGACGAGGAAUGUUGGGACUUGUUCGCAAAACAUGCGUUUGACCAGCAAAACUUCAAGGCGCGCACGAGACUUGAAGAAAUCGGGCGAAGAAUUGUAAAGAGAUGUGAUGGAUUGCCUCUUGCGCUGAAGACUAUAGGUAGCUUGUUACGCUGUGAGUCUGAUAUCAGGGAGUGGGAAAGUAUUGCAGAGAGUUAUAUUUGGAAUUUGGCACCUGGACCAAAUGGAAUUCUCCCUGCGUUGUUGUUAAGUUAUCAUUACCUUCCUCCACAACUGAAACGAUGUUUUGCCUAUUGUUCAGUCUUCCCAAAGGAUUGUAUAUAUGAGAAGGACCAGCUGAUCUUACUUUGGAUGGCUGAGGGCUUGAUAGAACAACCUCACGACAGGACAUUAGAGCAAGUAGGUGAUCGGUGCUUCGAUGAUCUUGUGUCUAGAUCUUUGCUUCAUAGAGUAAGUGAUGUCGAAUCGAGCUUCUCGAUGCAUGACCUGGAAGUAAGCGAUGUCGAAUCGAGCUUUUCGAUGCAUGACCUGGUCAAUGACUUAGCAAGAUAUGUAGCUGGUCGUUCUUUUUUUAGCUUGGACGGAGGCAAUGCACACCACGUGUCCUCAAGCACUCGCCAUUUGUCAUUUGUAAGAACUCGAUAUGAUGUCGCUUCUAGAUUUAGAGUGUUAGCCGGGACAAUGAAUUUGCGUACUUUCCUGCCGCUAAACGUGGGUCGUGAGAGAUUUUACGAGUACAAUUUGUUGACUGAUGAGGUACUGCAUGUUCUGUUGCCGACCCUGAGACGGUUAAGGGUGCUAUCUUUGUCUCAUUAUCUGAAAAUCUCUACGUUGCCUAGUUCAAUUGGAUGUUUGAAGCAUCUGCGCUAUUUGAAUCUCACUUGUAAUUGGAGUCUAAUCAGAUUGCCUGAUACAAUUACAGCUCUAUACAACUUGCAAACCUUAAUUCUUGCUUACUGUGAGUCUCUCAUUGAGUUACCGAGCAACAUGGGCAGCCUAACCUGUCUGCGUCAUCUUGAUAUAAGGAAGACAUCCCUGAAGAGAAUGCCCUUGGGGAUGAACAGACUGAAGAAUUUGCAGAUAUUAACUAAUUUCGUGGUGACCGAAAACGGUGGGACCAGGGUUAGGGAGCUAGGGGAGCUAAGGGAUCUUAUGGGUACACUCUCCAUACAGGGUUUGCAGAAUGUUGAUAGUUACCAAGAUGCCGAGAUAGUCAAUUUGAAGGGAAAGAGGUACUUGAAAAAGUUAGUACUGGAAUGGGUUUAUGAUAACAAUAUUAUGCACCAAAAUUGCUUAAAUAUAUUGGACAAGCUGCAACCUCAUUGGAACUUGAGAGAGCUUGCCAUUAAUUUCUAUAGUGGUAGGUCAUUUUCCGAUUGGGUGGGACAUGGUUCAUUCUCUAAUAUGUCAGUCGUGUGUCUUGAAUCUUGCAAGCACUGUGUGUCAUUGCCUCCUUUAGGACAGCUACCAUCUUUGGAGAAGUUGAUAAUCAAAGGAUUUGAUGGAGUUAGGAGUGUGGGUACUGAAUUCAAUGGUAGCAACUGUAUACCUUUUCAGUCACUUAAGUACUUGGAAUUUGUUGACAUGUGCAGCUGGAAAGAGUGGGCUUCUUUUGCAAUAGAGACGGGAGGUCUUGCCUUUGCACAUCUGCAGGAGCUUUGUAUUAGAAAUUGCCCUGAGUUGAGUGGAGGUUUACCCAACCAUCUCCCUUCUCUAACAGCCUUGUCCAUUGAAAAGUGCCCACAGCUAACGUCUUCUCUACUAUUUGCACCACUUCUCCGUAAAAUCAAUUUGGAUGAUUGUGGAAAGGUUUCUGGAGUUGAGCCUCUCCUAAAUGGCACCGAGUUACGAGAUAUGAGAAUCAAGAGACUUUCAACCCUUCCCUUGAGGUUUCUUCCUCCUACCAUGACAAGACCUAAUCUUGAAGACAGUCCUGGAAUAGAGUUGCCACUGCACAGAUGCCAUGAAUCUCUCCAAUAUCUAAACUUGGAGUGGAGCUGCGAUACACUUAUAUCCUUUCCUCUGGAAAUUUUCCCCUCACUUAAAGAUAUUCAGUUGUCGGGGAUUAAAAAUUUGGAACAUCUUGCCAAUUCAGACGGUUCAUCACUUCUUCUCCAUUCGAUGGCCAUUUGUAAUUGCCCUGAAUUUAGAUCUUUCCCUGCGGGAGGAUUGGCUGCCCCAUCCCUCACUUCAUUAGAGUUGUAUAAUUGCUGUCAUCUAAAGUAUCUGCCAGAAAGCAUGCAGGCUCUCCUUCCUUCGCUUCGGUCACUGACAAUAUCCUUAUGUCCACAACUCGAGUCAUUUCCCGAGAGGGGUUUAUCCUCCAAGUUGGUCGCGCUUUCACUCUCUAAUUGUGAUAAGCUCAUCACUGGCCGCAAGGAUUGGGGUCUUCAAUCGCUAUGCUCUCUUGAAACUUUUUCCAUUGGGGAACAGAAAAAUAUCGAGUCAUUCCCUGAGAUAGGGCUUCUGCCAACCUCUCUUACCUCUUUGCAUAUCUCUUUCUUUGAGAAUCUGACGUCCCUGAACUCCAGAGCGCUUCAUAGCCUGAGCUCCCUUGAAAACCUCUCCAUUAUCGGAUGUCCUAAGCUCCAUUCCUUCCCAAAAGAGGGACAAAUUCUGCCUACUUCUCUUACCUCUCUGUCGAUUUAUUUUACGGGUCUAAAAUCACUGGAUAACUUAGGGCUCCACCACCUCACUUCUCUCAAAGAAUUUCGCAUAGAUUUCUGCUUCAAUCUUCGAUCCAUGCCAGCGGAGGGCUUGUCAUCCUCCCUUUCCAAUCUAUUUAUCAAUAAGUGCCCUAUGCUGGCGAAAAGAUGCCAGCGGAAGAAAGGGAAAGAUUGGCCCCUAGUUUCGCACAUUCGCUGCAUCGUGAUUGAAGGUGUGCUCGUCACAUAAUCGAAUAUCUUGCUUUACAAUCCCUCCUUUUACCAAGAUCUCACUCAGGUAUCUCCCUUGGCCCUACACUAAGUAAGCCAUUUAUUUAUUCUGGACAUACUUCGGUCACUCUGUGCUAUCCUUCCAGCUAAUGCAAAUCGAAAUCUGGCGUGUGUGUUGGACCGUUUCCCUAAUGUAUCUCCGGCUGAAGCAAUCGACGUUCUUAUGGCGCAAUGUGAGCUUCAGCCGGUAGCCAGUGCGCGGCAAUACGUCCAAUUUUUGGUUGUUUGAGGAUUAGCGGGAGCUCUAAUUAAGGAAAGGUCCUGCCAAUUCUACUACUUCUGCGGAGAGUAGUUGAAUUACCAAGAGGGAAGCUUGGAAGCUAUCCGAGCGGCCUGUUGUGGCAAUCGGUUGACGCCUGCUCAGUAGCAGAGGAGAGUUUCAAAAGUGGAGGGGACAAGCAUAGGAAAUUCGUGCAAAAUCUCGGUUUAUGAGAUGGGGAUGCGGACAGAGAUUUUUGGUGAAAUUUAAAAGAAGAUAGCAUAGGAAGUAGAAAAUGUACCGAACACCUAGCAGGUGGGCCGGGUGGGUUUGGGGCAUCCGGAGAACGCAGACCGGAUAUUUAGAAGCAAUAACUAUUGUACAAGCAUCUUCUCGAAUGUGAGCUUUGCAGACUGGAUUGGUAUCUGGCAGGUUUAUAUCUUCACCGGGAUGAAGAAGAAUUGCAAAGAGAGAGAUCAUAGAGAAGCAUCAUUUGAUUAUUUACCUGUUGCUCUUCUUUUUCCCAGUGGGUACAUGCAUCUGUUGUUUGCAGUGUUAUUAGCCGGGGAUGUCAGCAUUUCCUAGUCAACUCAGUCUGAGAUCUGGUGCUUUAGCAGCAAACUAGUUAAGUUCUACCAUGAAUGGAGUUCAUUUGGUUGUAUCUACCUUAAAUGUUAAGUCGUCAUUCCCUGGCAGAAUUACGUGAAAAGAAGUAGAUGUUUGUUUCUCUUUGUGAGGGAGAAGUUUCAAUGUCUGAGUCCGGUUAAUUAGAUUCCUAGGACUUGACAAUGAUUGGUCACUGCACUGCACUGAAGCCUGUUAUUUGACAGGAAUCUCUUCCUCAUCCUCUUCUUCUUCCUCCAUUUCUUUGGACUGUUGGAGCAGAUUUUCUAGUGAUAUUUUUCAUGUGUUUACUGAUUAUCUAAGAUGCACAGUUAAGCAUUUAUUCUGUCAUGAUACAUCAUUGUGACGAAUUUUUCCAGUAACUGUUGCCGUUAGAUUGGUGUUGUUAAUAAAUUGUGCUGUUCAUGAACUUGGACAUAUUUUUCCUGGACUAACACUCAGAGAUCCGAAUUUGUUAGCAGGUCAUUAAGUAUGGUUUUGUCAUACUGUUCAUUGUUACGAUUUGGGGAUGUUAUGUCAACAGCCUAAAGAGUCUCUUGUCUCUUCAAGCCACAGUUACGAACUUCUCGACAAAUUUCCUCGCUUCUGGAUUAGCUGGGUUCUUUUUAUUUGAUGAGUCAUUGAGAUACCAGGUACUUUGAUUAACUAUUUUCCUGCCCUGUUCUGCAAAGUUAUGUACUUCAAGGUUUGAUUUUUUAUUGUGUUUAAAACAAGAGGCGAGCUCUUAUUGUUAUACCUGGAACUAUCAAAAGUUUUUUUCACGUACACAAGUAAUAUCACGACUGCAUUUAGUUCCCUCAAGAGAAGAAUUCUCUCUAUGGAAUCGGAACUGGUAAUCUUGAAAGUGGCAAAUAGGCCAAAAGUUGGGAGUCAAAUUAUGCAAUAGAUAACUUCCGAGUUUGUUAUCUCAUGAAUGCAUUGAGGGUAAUUAUGCCAUCAUAAGUGGGGAACAACAGCAUGGAGAAGGAUUUUAUAUUUCAGAUGAAAGCUUCUGAGAUCAAUGUGGUUGCUAAAGAACAGAGCUAGUUUGCUUCAUGCAAACCUGUUGUUCAGGGAUUCUUGGUGUAGUCUCCACCUUGCGAUAAAAGGCAUUGUGUACUUCCUAGUUCCUGAUAAUGACUUGAGUUUAGGUUUAAUCAUUGCUAUCUUGACUCGCAUUAUGGUUGUGAUAUGGUUGUAAAAUUGUGAUUGAAAGGAGGCAAUGAUUUUUGAGAUUCUCACUCCACUUAGUCUAUGAAUGCAGAUUUCACGAAUUUCACAUAAAGUCCCGUUCUUAGUGGUUUGCAGGUGCACUUCUUAUAGUGAUUGGUGUGCUAAUUCUCAGCAAAUCAAGUAUCGAGAAGAAAAGUAGAGUUGAUUGAAAGUUCUCAGUUUAUGAGAGAUACCAUACGCCAUGCUUGAAGGUUGCCCCCUUUUGCUACAGGCAACAGUUGCCCUGCUUCUCUGCUUUAUGUUUUUCUUUCCCUUCUCUCUUUUAAGUGCCCGAACUGCCUGUACUCAUUUAUCUUUUGUGGAUUUGCUGGUGACUUAUAAAUGAGAAGUUACAUUCUCGUGCCACUCUCAAGGAAGGAAAAAAAGGAAGCUGAGAAUUGAGGAUAGAAGAGUGUUUCCUUCCUGGCCGGUCAUUCCGCGUGAAUGAUCACUACUUGCUGCGACUGGCAGCACCAAGGUUGCUAUGUUGUUAAUGCCAGGAUUGCUAUGUUACUGUUAAUGGUGACGGUAAGAUAUAGCUACAAAGCAAGCUGCAAACGAGUAGGCUAAAACAUUGGUAAGUGAACCUUAAUUUAGGCGCUCUGGAAAGGCUGAAUGUGUCGUGCGCGCUUUGAGAGCAUAAAGCUAAGACCCAACAAAGAUCAUCUUUACAUUAAUAUAAAUCAAGGUCUUAAUGUGAGCUUAUACCGACAUGUGCUAUGACGUAAUAGAAAACUUGCGGAGGAUUUAAUGGACAUCGUGCGUUACGGGGCCGAGGUUGUCUUCUAACUCACCUCGACCCGAACUACUCUUGCUAUAAGACCCUCCAUUCCUUUUGCCCCUUAUUAAAAGUUUGUUACUUGUAUGAUCUAAAACACGACAACGCAUGGCCAAAGUAAUAGUUUUUCUCAUUACCAAUCUAAACUUAAAAUUUGUAAAAUCAAUUCGGUGAAAAGAUCGGUGCACCAAAUUGGUGUUCCCCUCAAAAUGUGGAUUUUUGGCUGGCACAAUAAAAUAAUCAAGUAACCUAACAUUAUAUAUAUAAAGCAUUUUUUGGGGUUAACUUAUUAGAUUCAUGUUUAAUGAGUUUAUAAUGCAGCAUCGUAGCACGACGUGAGAAUACAAUAAUUUUGAGUGUGUUUGUUUCGUGGAAAAAGAAUAAUUUGAAAAAUAUAUAUUUUUAAAUAAUCGCUUAAAAGAAUUAAUGAGUGGAAAAUAUUUUUCAUUGUUCAUGAAAAUAUUUAGACAUAAAAUUAUUAGUAAUAAAAAUAUUUUUAUUGAUUAAUGAUUAUAAGCAAUAUAAACGCAGGCCUUAACGAGAAAAUGUGGCUUAUUUUUUCAUUUCUCAUUGAACUGUCACUGUUCAGGUAAGGCUCCGCCCGACAAAUGGGCUCGAGGCGCGAAACUGAGGAUGAAUCAGGACCGUUGCUCAAAGGCGAAGGGCUCGCCGACUAAAAUGCGUCCGCGCACACCGGAUCGCGGCUCACCGUCUCUCUCCUUCGCAUUUUCCCGCCAGAAACCCAUCCCCGUCGACCUUCAUUUACCGCCAAGUCUCUCUCUCCCGCCCUCUUCCCUGACCUAAACCCUCACUCGCGAGGCUCUGCGCGUAAUUGAUCGGCGGCGUUAUGCGAAUCCGGGAUCCAAUUUGAUGUUGUGAUGAAGCCGACAGCAAUCGCGAAGGAUUUCCUCUCGAACUUCGCCAACGCGAAUGGAGAAGCCAAGUACAUGAACGUCCUCGUAAGUUCCUCCUCUCUCGGCUCUUGUUUUUAUACUCGGACAUCCUUUUAAGCGCUGUAGAAUUGAGGCGAAAUCAAUGUUAAAGGUGCGUGCUUGAUCGCACGUCGUGCCCUAUCCUUUUCUGUUGUCCAUGAACUGCGGCUGCGGAGUCUCUUCCGUGUGCAAUAAUGCUCCAGUACUUAUAAAAUGAUUAACCCUAGAUUUCACAUUUGAGUCGAGCGUAGUUCCCUUUUUAUUUGCAAUUUAAAUGGCUCGCAUGAGGGUCGCCAUUCCUGAUUUCAGCAAGAAGUUGCAAAUCGAAAAAUUCGUGAUAUCCGUUUUAUUAUUCCGUGAUAUCUUUCAUUCAUAAGCUAUAUGUUUAAAAUAGAUAGUAAUUAGCUAAAUAAUCGGUGACACCAAAUAUUAAAUAUUUACCUAACAUCAUCAUAUUAUAAAGUUACUUUCGAUUCCGAGUAAUAAAAGCAGCACACAUCCUCUCUCUCUCUCUCUCACUCACUAACACAGUGGUCGAGGCGUCAGACGUGGUUGAGGCCCCCCUCAUCGUUGCAUGGCUGCUCCCGCUGGCCUGGCUCGUGAGCCGGAUGAUAGGCGCCGCAAGAUGAAGCGGCUGCUGCGAUUGGCUUCAGAAGAAGCCGUGCGAGUCGAGCUCAAGGCGUGGAUCGAGGCGUGGAUCGUGGCGUGGAUAGGCCCGAUUGAGGCCCUCAUCCUCUGCAUCAUAUGACUGCUACCACUCGUGGCAUUCCUCAUCCAGAGGAGUCGGUGAUGAUCGGUCAAGAGGAGCCUCAAGAUUGAGCGGCUGAGGCUCCAUCGGGUACAUAAGGUCGUCUCCCCUUUGCUACUGUCACUGUCCCGUUUGCUAUGGACGUGAUACCUAUAGAUGCUCACUGUCCCGUUUGCUAUGGACGUGAUACCUAUAGAUGCUCGCACCACCAAGCGACGCGAUGCUAGUGAUUUCGAUAGUUUAAUCAAUCAGUCGUGGCAUCUGGUGUAUGGUCGAUGAACAAUCACUAGCGAAAAAUUUACUAUGCCUAAUUUGGUUAUGUACAUACUAGUCAUUUAGGAAGAAUCAAUCAGUCAUGGCAUCUGGUGUAUGAUCAAUGAACAAUUACUAGGGAAAUUUCCAUUGUUUAUUACAAUAUUUCCUAUAUACAUUCGCCGUACCGUCGUCGCUCUCGCCCGUGGUUGCCCACGGUCGCGACCAACUCUCGUUGCCAUGGAGGGAGAGAGAAGGGCCGUGGCGACUGAGGGGACUGUGGGGACAGCGCUCCUGAAUUCGAGCAAUUCUCGAGACGGAGUCUAAGCUCGAAUAUGUCCGCGAAGGACGCGAUUUUCUUCGCUGCUGCGGCUAACGAAGUGGAAUCCUUACGCGAAAUCGCGUCGGGAAGUCCCACCACCAAGUACGAACCUGUCUCUUCGCUGAUGGAUCCUCCCGAUCAGCGGAAGGAGUCGAAGUCGAAGUUCGUCGUCGCCCAUUGUUCGCGACCACCCCACUCUCAAGACUCUCCAUUCAGCCACGGGUCCAAUUCUUCGCUGCCUGCGAUCGUAACUCGUUCCUACCAAAAUCUCAAGGGAGAUUUGACUACCAACGUCUCUCUCGUCCAGCGGUCUGUGUCUCUCCCUCUUCCCUCGAGCUUGCUCUAUGAUCAUGGGAGAGCGUGCGGGCCGAUGCUUCGCUUCGCUCCUCCGCUCGUAAGAAGGAAAGGAAAAAAAGAGCGAAAAAGAGAGGGAAAAUCACAAAAAAAAAGGAAAAAAAGAGGGGAAAAUAGGGAAGUUCCCAGGUUUGGUAGUUUGUUAGGGGCGUUGGCGGAUGAUAUGCCCACUUAACAUUUUGGAUCAUCAUCUCUACUGCGGUGAAUCAUUCAUCAUCGAAUGAGGAUUCACCAUCGAAUGAGGAGAGACUUGUGUCUGUGGAGACAUACAUGACAUUCAUGAUCUAAUCUACUUAAAAUAUGCUUGAUGAUUGUGCAUUUCUUCAAGCUUUAAUGUGAUGAUAUCUACAAAGGACAUAUAUGUUUCACCAGGGGAGCUCCAAAUAUGCAAAUGUCAAUGUUAACUACAAAAUCUUUCUGCUUGGAGAGCCUGCUAGCCAUCACUAGCCAAAAUGAAAAGAGGAAAAAAUUUUAAAAAGAAUUAAAAAAUUUCCACGUCAAUGCGAAUCACACCUUAUAAGAUAGCUAACUUUCAAAUCAAUGGAUUGGACUCAAUUGUCACAAAUAUAAAAAAUCAAUGAUUAAAUUAAUCUAAUCUAAAGAUUUAAAAGUGAAUUAGUAUUAAUAUAGUAUGUUUAAAUAUUGAUAAAACACAAAAUUGUACCAUGAAAUGUCACAUCACAAAAUUGAAGAACACUACAAAUAAGUAAAAAUCAUAAAAAUUGAAAAACACUACAAAUAAGUAAAAAUCAUAAAAAUUGAAAAAUAAACAUCAAAUAUGAAAAACAAAAAACAAAGAAAAAGAUGAAGUUUGCAGGGUUUAUAUGUCGUCCCAAUAAGGGUUGGCGAUCCUCAUCGAGGUCCAAUUGAGGGCAGUGAGCCCUCACACAAUAGUAGUUGCAAUAACCAUCAUUGGGCCCCAACAAGGGUCUAUCCAACAAAUUGUGCCCCACUGCUGCAAGGGGCAUUACCUCCGUCCAUCUCUAGGUGAGUCACCCUCACGGAUGCAAAGCCGCCCCCUUAUUGCCCCUAACAUUUUUUACUUUUCUGAAAUCAUUUCAAUCCUUUUUUUUUUUAAUAUUUAUGCUAUUUCGUCCUCUUUUUUUUUUUUUUUUUUUUUUCCUUUUUAGCAUUUGUCUUUUUGACGCGGUGCCUAUUCGACAGCGAGAGAGGAAGAGUGAACUCUCCAUUUUUGGGUCCACCGUUGGCUUUCUUUAUGAUUAUCUUAGGAUGGUUUGACAGUCCCAUUAACUCAAUGAGAGAGAGAAACUCUCACUCUUCACCUUAUAUGAACUUAAUUUGACCAAUCUUUUUUGCCUCUCUUUCUUUUUCCACUUUUUCCAAGAAGCUUCGCGGAAGCAUCUCGGGUCAUUAGUUUCGUCGAAUUUAAUGUCUGAAAAGGAAACUCCACGGCUUCUUGCAAUACCCGUCCUUGAUUUCCUUUGAAAUGAAGUUGCUCUCUUGAGCAAACCCUCUUCGAAGUAGUACUCAGGGCUGUCAAAUGAUUGGUUCGAAAAUGGUUAAGCCCUAAUUGAUCCAUGUAAUUUUGAUAAAAAAUGACCUAUAUAACUUCUUUUUUUUACUCAUUUAUAUGAAAUACAAAGUUAAUGUCCCAAUAUAGAGCCAUAAUUUUGACUGACGGAAGUGAAAUUUUCACUGUUAUGCAUCUUAAUUUUUUUUUCUAAUAUUUGUUACUAAUAGGUAUUUCAAAUGAAGUCAACUCAAUAAAUUAGUAAAAAAAAUUACAGAAGACUGAAAAAAAUUAACUCAACUAAAAUAGAAUAACUACUCAAAGUACAUUUUUUUAAAAACAAAAGUAAGAGUACCAAAAUUGCCAAAACAUCAUUACAAAUGAUAAAUUGAAGAAUUAAAAAUGGCAAAAAUUGAUACACCCCUUCCGUACAAAGAGUGCUUAGGCCCUUUCAACCUUUUCUUUUAAUUGAGGAGAGUGGGGAAGCAAUAACACUUAGACCGCCAACUUUUUUGAGAUUAGUGCAUUUAAAAUUUUAAACUCAUGGCAGAAGUGUAACUGAAUUUUAAAAUUUAAGAUAAUAUAAUCAAAUAUGAAAGUUUGCAAUCAAAAUUGAAGAUGCUUAAAAUAUUACUCUAGUACAAAUCAUCAAUAUGUGUUGUGUUGAAUGUUAAACGCAAACAAAACCUGAAAGUGUGAAACUCAUGGCAGAAGUGUAACUGAAUUUUAAAAUUUAAGAUAAUAUAAUCAAAUAUGAAAGUUUGCAAUCAAAAUUGAAGAUGCUUAAAAUAUUACUCUAGUACCAAUCAUCAAUAUGUGUUGUGUUGAAUGUUUGCUUUGUUGAUUUGAUAAUUGUAAUGUCCCCAUAAUCGUUUCAUCAAAUAUGUGAUGGAUGGAAAGUGUAGAAAAGAAGUAAAAAAAGAAUAAAUGCACAUAACAAUUUUUUUCAUAGUGUGAUUGUUUAGAUAUAACUGAACUUGUUGACCGAGAGCAACAUAAGUGUCCACCGGGUGUCUGGAUUGCAACGCUAAUGCUACUACAUGGCUACUAGAUGUUCUCUUUGAGAGAAAAUAUUGAAUAUACAAGUUGUGUCAGUGUAACAAAUUAAAAGCUCAUCUAUUAAGUGACAUGUGUUCUUAAAAAAUGCACUUGAAAUGGGAAUGCUCAUGUUUCAAAAUGGCGUGCAAGUCGCUCUCUCGAGGAAACCCUCUUCCUAAGUAGCACUUGGGCUAUCGAAUGGUGGAUUGGUUCGAAAAUGAUUAGACUCUAAUUGACCCAUGUGAUUUUGAUUAAAAAAUAAUCAAUAUAACCUGUUUUGACUCAUUUAUAUGAAAUAUGAACUUAAUGUUCCAUAAUAGCACCACAAUUUUGAGUGGUGGAAGUGAAUUUUUCACUAUUAUGCAUCUAAAUUUUUUAAUUAAUAUUUGUUACUAAUAAGUAUUCCAAAUAAAGUCAACUCAAUAAGUUUUCUAAUUUUUCAAUUUAUAUUUUUACAAUAGGUAUUUUAAAUAAAAUCAACUCAAUAAAUUUUCUUAUUUUUAAUUAAUAUUUGUUACAAAUAGGUAUUACUAAAAUGAAGUCAACUCAAUAAAUUAGUAAAAAAAAUUACAGAAAACCGAAAAAAUUAACUCAACCAAAUUAGAAUAAGUACUCAAAGUACCUUUAUUUUAAAAUAUAAGUAAGAGUGCACAAAUUGCCAAAACAUCAUUACAAAUGAUAAAUUGAAGAAUUAAAAAUGAUAAAAAUUGAAACACCCCUUCCAUACAAAGAGUGCUCAGACCGUCAACUUUUAUUUAUAGAUUAGUGCAUUUAAAAUUCUAAACUAAUGGCAAAAGUGUAACUGAAGUCUAAAAUUUUAGAUAAUAUAAUCAAAUCUGAAAAUUUACCAAAUUGAAGCAAUCAAAAUUUAAGAUGCUUAAAAUAUUACUCUAAUAUAAAUCAAUAAUAUGUGCUGUGUUUAAUGCUAAGCGCAAAACAAAUCCUCAAUGUGUGAUGUCACUCAUUGAUUGUGUAGAAUUUAGGCAACAUUUUUUUUUUGGUCGAAACUUAGGCAACAUUUCAAUAAGUAGAUUUGAUAAUUACAACGAUCCACAUAAUUGUUUCAUCAAUAUGUGAUGGAUGGAAAGUGAAAAAAAAAAGGAGUAAAAAGAGAAUAAAUAUGCAACAUUUUCUUUUCAUAGUGUAAUUGUCUAGGUAUUAUUGAACUUGAUGUUGACCGAGAGCAACUAAAUUUCCACCAAGUGUCUGGAUUGCAGCAUUAAUGCUACUACAUGUUCCUUGGGAGAAAAUAUUGGUUGUGCAUGUUGUGCCAGCGCAACAAAUUGAAAGCUUAUUCAUUGAACAACAUGUGUUCAUCUUCUUGCCCUUUCUCUGUUCUCCCACUGCUUUCUUCGUUCUUUUUGCAAGCCACGGAUGGUCUCUCUCCUCCGUAAACCCCUUCUCCUCCUUCGGCCCUCCCCCUCACUUGCCCGGGGCACGACAACGUCAUUCACCCGGCCUCUCCUUCACUUGAGCUCGACCUUUGUGCCUUCCCCACCAACAACAGCUCCACCAUUGAAAUCAUCCGCUGCCCCUGCGGCCCUUGGAUCCAAGAACAAGCCUAAGUCUCCCGUGCUCAUUGUCAUCACUCAUGAUCCCGAGCCCCUGCAUCCUUGAGAUCUUCUGUGCUCUGAGUCAUCCCUCCCUCCGUAGCUUACGGAUCUAACAAGGGCUUAGUCCUUUAUAGAUUUAGCGCAAGUGACCCUUACCCUAGUCGGGAGAGUCAACCCUCACCGAAUCCCCUCAUUAGAUUCGGCGAGAGCAACCCUAGCUUGUGGCCAGUCACCGGCCACAACCAAGUACUGGCCAUAGGUCAAAGGGAAAGAAAGUAAUUUAAAAAAAAAAAAGGAAGGGAGAAAUGGCAAAAAAGAAGAAGAGAAAUGGAGGUGCAAGUCUGUGAGAGGAGAGAAACGAAGGAAGAAUAGCUUGAUAAGUAAGGGCGCGAUUGGUAAUGUUUCUGUUCAAAAAUUGUUCCAGGGAACAGAAAAAAAAAAGUGUUUAUGUUCCGAGGAACAGUUUUUGAACAAAAGAACGCGUUUGGUAAGUGUAAAAAAAAACUGUUCUUGAAAUUAAAAAAAAAAAAAAAACAGAAACACGUUUGGUAACUGACUUAAUUUCUGUUCCUAGAAUAGAAAAAGAACAGAAACACGUUUGGUAACUGUACAAAAUUUAUGUUUUAAAUUUUUCAAAAAAUGUUUUUUUUUAAUAAAAUUUAAACUUGAUAUUGAAUUCUCAUUCUCAUGAAAUGCUCAUUAAUUUAAUUUUAUUCAUGGUGAAUAAAGACAAACAUUCUGAACAUGAUCACAUGACAUACUUGGUAGAAAAUUUUGUAAAUAAAGUUUGUAUCAAAUUUUUAUCAAAUACUUUAUUUUUUAUUUUUUAUUUUUUAUUUUUAUAUCAUAUCUAAAUGUUCAUAAACAAUCUCCAUUAUCCAAUCUGUUCCCUAGGAAGUUAAUUGACGUGAAAAUAAUCAAAAUCUAGAUGAGUUCUAGAUUCAGACUUUCUUUUGAAGGCUAAACUCACUGUUCUUGAUAAUAUAGCCCCCUUAUUCGGAAUCACUCAAACUGCAGGUGGGUGAUUGAAGCCUACAUCAGUCUUCGUUAUAAAUUUCGACCAUCACAUUCUAUAACAGAAUUUCUUUUAGGUAUGAGUCAUUUUAUAUCAUACCAAUUACUUGAUACGAAAUAACGUUGUCUUAUAGACAUAUAAUUAGAAUGACACAACAACAUUAGAACUACAUCGGCAAAGCCGCAAAGUUGAAAAUAUUCUAGAUUAUAUUGAAACACCUACAAUGAAUAAAAGACUGAAUUAAUAAUUUCUCUUUGGUGACUGCACUAAGAGUCUUAAAAUUUGCACUGCAAGUGUACUCAACGGGCUCAACGCAGAGCCAUGCAGACUCUGCAUCUUCAAGCUCGCUCUCUUGCGGAGUUAUCCCUGAGACCGCAUUGAAUUGGAUGUCCACGGGAGUUAAAAUCAUCGGAAUCCUGAGCCGGCCAUCCCCCACCGACCUGUCUCAAUGAAAGCUCCCCUUUUCCGUUCUUCGCUUCCAAAAUCCUCAACGUUUUCGACUUCCCACGGACAACCUCUAGCCCCUUCUUUGAGUACUUGGGUGCCACCAUAAUCUCGCAGAACAUCCGAGUUUCACCAUCCGUUGGGCUUGUGAACUCCUGGACUUCCCUCGCCAAGUUCUAUAUGCACAAUAGGACAUUGCAAGGUUAGUGUUGACAUUCAACUCAAUCAACUUUAUCAAGUGAAGCAUUACAAUACUGACUCAGCAAUAGGAGACCCGCACCUACACCAGUGUUGUUUCAAUUUUGAGGGAAGCCCGUGCUGAAUGAGGCUUAAAGUUUUAAAAGCUCACGCCCCUUUUUAUUUAUCAGAGAAUUAUAAUAUAUUAUGGAAUGUGACCAUGGCAUAACAUUUAGCCUAAUUUGCUCAAACUAGUUGACUCAAGAAUGAGCUUCAAUAUGGAACUCUAUGGAUUUAAAAAAUGAGGAGCCUUUUUCAGUUUAUUAUAUUUGGACUCGGUGGGUGUACUAUAUAAGGAAAUUCGAAUUUUCACUUUGUAACUUGCAUAAUGAAAUAAGCAUAUACCUCAUCAAUUUCUAUGUUGAAGGCCACGAUAUCACCAAAUGCACUGACUGGAUCUGCUUUGACUGCUAAUCUGAAUGCUUGAAGAAUAUCGGCGGGGGAAGCCACCCCAUGAGGAUUUGUAUGCUUUAUGACGAUGCAUGUAGGUCACUAAACUCGGAUACACGAUUCCAGGCAGCAUCAACAUCCAGAUAGUUAUUAUAUGACAUUUCCUGCAGCACCAAUACAUAAUUCACAACAAAUGAGAGAUAGAUAUGCUAUUGUUACCACGAUCUGUCAAUGGUUUAAACGAACUUUGCAGAACAAACUACUAUUGCAGUUGCUCAGAGACUUCUAAACAGCAUCCAGUCUCAUCUCAAAAACACAUGGUUAUGAUACUAAAAGGCAGCCAAUUAGUCCCCUGUAUCGCUAAUCUCCUUUGCAAAACAUUGUUAGUGUUUCAUUAUACCUAAACCUUUUGCACGCUCAAAUACACAGAUAGUUAUGUUGAAGAAGCAAAUAAAGUGCCAGAGAGAUUUGAAUUGAGUACCUCCUGUUCUAAUAACAUAUUGACUUCUUGAAGCCUUUGUUAAUUUAUCAAAAAGCUUUAGCUAUAACAUGAAGAUACUAUCUAUUAUUUAGAUUUAAUAACAAGAUUCCAUUUUAGAAACUGCCUCCUCUAUCUAAUGAAGUUUUCAAAGCUAGAUAAUUACUAGAUCCGCUGCAAUUUCAACUUCCUCAAAAGAUUGACCUUGAUGUAAAAAUAUGACAUCAAGGAAUCGCCUUCCAUGAUGUUGGAUUGCAGUUGCAAUACCACCUCCAUUAACCUUAGCAAGACUCUUGUCCACAUGUAGCCUUAUGGUGGGGAUUUUCACCAAUAUGAAGAGAACUUUUAAGAGAUAGAGGCAAUGUUAAGCUAGGAGGGAAUUUCUCUAUCAAAAGGAAGAGUCGUCAACCUCCACAUUUUCGGUUAAAAAACUAAUAGGGUAACAGAACCUACUGAAAUUACUGAUUUCCAAAAGAAACAAACAAAAGGAUACCAUCAGAACCAAGUCUCUAAAAAGCCCCUUACUUGCAUGUGUUUAGACCUACAUGCAUUUUUAAUUGCCUUAGUGGCUAUGACAUCAAUUGAGAACACGAACUAGACGAAUACCUCCAGUUGUUUGUCUCCAUAGCCACUCUGACACUGCAGAAUCAUAGGAAGCAACACUUUGAAAGGCCUUUCAAGCAAGUUUUCUACGGAACUGUUGAUCAUCUCCAUUACUCUUCAGGAACUCUAGCAGUGCAGGGUAGUCGUGUGAAUCAACCACAACAAGGACAUCUGAUGAUUCUGUUAGAAGACAAAUGCCAACAUCAAUUCAAAUUAAGGGCAUAUAAUGGUUCUUGACGCAAAAUUACAGAAAAAUUUACCACAUGCAUAUUGAUACAUAGAGGCGCAAAGCCAGCAACAAUUCUACAAAAAAAGUGCAACAUAUUGGACAUACCUACUUUAGUUUAUAAUUUAACAAGCAUCACAAGAGCAAUUGUUUAGUUUUAGCAUAAAAGCAUGAGAGAAAUCAUUACCCAAAUAGUAAGAAGAUAAUCUGGAGCCGCAAUCUCAAUGUAAAAGUUAACAUACUUUCAGUCAAUUACAUGCCUCGGUUACAAGUGCCGUUGUAGCAAAGUUUGCAUGAUAUCCGUGAGCCUAGAGUGACAGAAGACACCAAUACAAUCAUAAUCCCUCACAUGUCCAAAUUUGGGCGAGCAACGCUCGCUUGGGGCUCGAGCACGAGGGCUCGCUCGAGCGAGCGUCGUUGCUCUGCCGAGCGACCAAAGCAGCUCGAGCUCGGCAGAGCAGCUCCAACGAGCAACGCUCGCUUGGGGCUCGAGCACGAGGGCUCGCUCGAGCGAGCCUCUCGCAGAUCUGGGCAAGCGCUGGAUCGAGCGAGCUGUCGCGCUCGAGCCCCGAGCAGCCGUCGCCCAGAUCUGUGAGGGGUGGCUCUCGCUGAAGCCCUCGUCGAACGGAGAAGGAGGAGCAGCAGAAACUAACCUCGAUUCAGAAGCUUCAGCCGGUAGGAGCAGCAGCUGUCGGCGCCGGAGAGUCAGCCGAGUGGGGAGGCGCCGGAGAGUCAGCCGAGUGGGAGGCGCCGGAGAGUCAGCUGGUGGUGAACUUGUGAGAGACGCCGGAAAAGGGAGAGCGUUGUUUCGGGUAGGGCAUGAACGAAAGAGAAAGGGCACGAACGAAGGAGAAAGGGCACGAAAACGAAGCCCGAAGUGUUCCGGUUUUGUUCUUUUUAGGGCUUCAAGAAGUGUUUCUGGACUCCAGAAGUAAGUUUUUUUUUUUUAUUUAUCUUUUUUAUGUUUCAAUUUUGCUCUAGGAACCAAGGGUGCGAAUGGUAACGGAAACGUUAAAUAAACACGUUUCUGUUCUUUUUUGUUCCCAGGAACAAAAAAACCAAAAAACUGUUCAUAAACACAUUUCAGAAACAAAAACAUACAGGGCCUAAGCUUUUUAUGGACACAUAUUGUUCAAUAGAUAGGCUUUCAAUUUGUUGCGUUGGCACAACUUGUGUGGUCAAUAUUUUCUCCAUGUCUUAGUAGAAUGUAAAAAUAAGUAAAUGCUCAGCCCACGAACGCAUCUAUGUCCAUACACAUGUUUUCAGAAUUUUAUUAAUAUCAGCUAUACGAGAUUGUGCUAUAAAUAUAAUAACGCAAAGAGGCCUAAAAUCGGAAAAGCUCACCUAGAGAAACCCCGCAUUAUCUUCAAUCAAAUCCCUAGAAUGGGAAUGGAAGCUUUCUUGGCAUCGUCUGGUUGAUUGGAGCGAGGUGGAAUGGAAAUAAAAAUGGGGAAUAAAAAUUGCUUUAUUACUGCAUUUUUCGUUAACACGCGGGAAAGUGGAAAUGAGCGAUAAGGCAUGGGAAUGAGUUGACAGUCAAAGGUAAAUUGACAUGUGCACUAAGCUUCGUAUUUGGUAACUGUUGUUUGGACAUAAUAUGGCAAACAUACUUACCUAAUUUACUAUUAUAUAGCAAUUUAAAACGAUAAAAUUCCACCCAUUACUACAUACGUUCCAAUUCCGAUGUAUUAUCAAAUGCAGUGAUCUUCAAAUCAAUCGCUAUUCUGAUUCACUACAAGCAAUUCCAUUUCCCUCUAGUUAUCUCAUGCUUAUGUAACAAAUCAGCCAAAGAAACAAUUUAGAACUCGUAUGGACCACAUCCUCAUCUAAAAUUAAGAACAGAUCAAAGUGCAUGAACCGCAAAAAUUAGGACCAUGAGCGCACGCAUGUCUAGUCUGUCUAAUUCUAUAUUUAUAUAGUGGUAGAUAUAUCCAAUAUGACCUCACUACAUACAUCCAAUUUCCACUCUGGAAUACGUAAUUAAUUGAUUAGGCUUGUUCUUCAUGACUUAUUUUUCCUCCAAUUGCCUUCAUGUUACCUCUUUUGGAAGCAUUCAGUUGAUCUACAUGCAUUGUUUGGACAUGAAGAACUAUUUUAAUAGUUCAGUUUUCAUAAAAAUAUACCAGCUCGAGAUUAUCAAUGGUGUGUGUAUAUGUAAUCUUGUGUACUAAAACUAGCUAAACUCGAAUGAUAUUCCAAUUUGGAUCUAAAAUACCAUUGCCGGAUAAUUUAAUGGAAUGCCAUCAAAUUGUUUUCCCCUAAUGCUACGUUAAAGUACGUAUUGCAUAACUUAGAUACUUUUACCCAAAAUCAUUCCGAAAAAAAUAUAUCAGGACAAAUUCAGAAGUUUUAUAGGAGAUAAUCAUGGAUUAAUAUAGUUUCGUUCCAUUCUUAUAAGAACCAUUCAAAGGAAUUUAUUUCUUCACGUGGGGAGCAAACUCUGCCUUUUUUUAGUCAAUUGUUGACUUGGUUUUGAUUAAUUAGACAUAACUAAAUUCAUUUUUGCUCAAGGUUUGCUGUUUGACAUAUAAUAUCAAAAAUAUAUUUCAAAACUUCACCGCUACAUAUUUACAAUACCCCGCAACAUUGCACGAGAAGUAGCAAAGCUUUUGCUGUUCACAUACCCGUCUGAGCACCUGGGAAAGCCUACUCUCCCAUCUAAUACUGUACAAUUAAGUUAGGUCAAUAUAUCCAACUUCCAUGAUUUUAGGUAUGUGAAUGUGAAUCCACCAGUUGCCAAAUGAAGGACACGAAAGAAAAAGGAAAUAAGUUAACCACGCGGGCAGGAUUGAGAGAUGUGUAUUUUUGCAGGCUACGUAAUGUCUCCGAAUAUAUAGUCAUGAGAUACGGUCCACAAACAAAUGUACGACCAUUCAGUACUCAUUUUCCCAUUUGUCAACUAGGCAUAUUGCUGCAUUACUCAAUUGCAUUCAUUUAACUAUAUGUAAUUUAUUGUUGGAUGACGUACACAUUGCAUCGUAUAAUGUACAUAGAAAUUUCAAUAUUGUUACCGGUACCCACAUGAUCUCGUGAAACAAUAUUUCGAACAAUCUUCUAAAUCUUCUUGAUAAAUAUGCCAUGCACUUGGUACCAAACUAAAAAGCAUUCCGCAACUCUCCCGCUAUGUAAACAUAGUCGACUUGCUAUAUUACUAUCUUUACGAGCUUUUGGAGAAUCGAAGUCGCAAUGUCAUCCAAUAGCAGGGGAUCGAGAAGCAAGAAAAACAUAUUUAGCAAAGCAUGGAACGUGUUCAAGGGGAAACGGGGUUCUUGAGAAGUCUCGUCUAGCAGGACCUAUUGAGAUGUCACCACGUCACCGGUAAGCUCAUUGGUAAAGCCUAUUAAAUUAAUGUCUCGAGUUUGAAUUUGGAUAAUGAUUUGUAAAUCGAAUUUAUUGAUAAAAAUUUUUCAAAUAAAUUUUAAAUUGGAUGAAAAAAAAUUCGUUGGAUUCUUGAAGAUUUAUGAAGGAGGAAAUAAUAGUAUAAAGGAAAAAGGGGAGCAAAGUUUUCUUUAUCUGAGGAGGAGGCCGAAUAAGGUUUGUUACAUGGGGCCAAAGUCAAGUCUUGACUUUUGGGCACACAUAUAAAUAAAAGGCAAGUCUCCGGGAAGAAAAGCUGUCCAAACCUCUCUGCACGUGGAGCCGAAAAAAGAGCUGGUGAGCCCAAGUCAGAUAUUUGAAAAAAGAAUUGGUGAGCUCAGGUCAAAUAUUUGAAAAAAAGAGUGGUGAGCCCAGGUCAAAUAUUUGACCUUUGGGCUCACGAAUUUCCCUUUUUGGUGUGCGUGAAACGGCUUAAGAAAAACCCCCCACGAAAUAAAAGGAGCCGCCGCAGUCGUACAAGUGAAAAAGGAGCCGCACGUAGGAGAAUAUAGAAGCCACGGGAAGCUGUACAUAGAGCGUUUUGUUUUGAGCUUUGAUAAUUUUAUACCGUGAGUUAUAAAAACUUUGAAUUUAAAGUUAAAUCUAGAUAUAGAAAAUAUUUGAGCAUGUAAGUGAUUGUAAACUCUGAUUCUCUAAUUAUAGUGGAUUAUUUGCUGCUGAAUCUUCCCGUAGACGUAGGUACCGAUACUCGGACUGAAUUACGUAAAUUUCGGAUAUCCUUAUUAUUUCUCGUUUAUUUCUUUGGUGAUUUCGCGUUGAUGUAAAUUGCAAAAUCAUGUUGUUUCCGCGUAUUAUAUUUCAACAGAGCCUCAACGGAACUAUCGGGAUGUUGCCACGUCUCCGGUGAGCUGGAGAUCCUCAAGCAAGUCCCAGUCCCGAGUGAGUUCUCGGAGCUCACUGAUGGAGUCUCAGCGGAGAUCCUCGAGUGUCAGCCAAAGCGACGACCAUUAUUACAAUUCUAGUGAAGACAAUCCAUGGCGAGCAAGCUACAGGCAUGGCGCUCUCGCCUAUCGUGGUGAUUACGAUCAAGUGCGAGUGAGAUCGUACCCGUGACCACUCCGGCAGGAAUAUGAUUAUUUUUAUCACACUAGUAUGGGGCAGUAUUAUUCUUGGGGUCUUGACAAUGUCAAUAGUUACGUCCAUGACGACGCGUCUGUUCCACCAUAUCUGCCCCCGCAUACUUCUUAUGGUUAUCACCGUCCAUCCGAGUCUCCCCCGAAUAAUUGUGCGGUGAUGUGAGAUGCCUAAUAUAGUGUGGCUAUAGUUGGUAUUUACUAAUAUCUGGUGAAGUACGGGAUGAGCUAGGGGCAUGGUUGAGCCAUUGGUUUGUUAGCUUUCGCUUGUGAAUCUCAGUGAAGUUUCUUGUUUUAGUUAGUGGUUUCGAACGUGAUGGAGUUUGAUUGAAAUCGCUUUGCCAGUUAACGAAGGUUAUAUACUUAUUUUAUGAAGUUUCAUCUAGUUCGUAGAUGCUAAACAUUUCUAUUAAAAUUUUACUAAAAUUAAGGGCACUUAAUUCCAUCAAUUGUCUAGGGUUCUACUUCUAUGAACAGAUGUUCCCUAACCAAUCAUUUAUCACAAAAACUAAACCAAAUGAAAAACGAUUUAUAAAAAUAGUAAAAAAAAAAAGAAAAAGAAAAAUUGGCCACGCCAUUCCUUGGAAAUUCUUCAUUCUUCAAGGAAGACCUUUAAGGAUCCAAGCUUUCUUGUGAUCCUUCGUGUUCAAACUUCAAGUAGCUUUGAAUGUGCAGAUAUACAUUGAAAUUCGUCUUUCCAGAUGCUUAUGGCAUCUCCAUUGAGAUGCAUAUACAUGGAGGAAAAACUUUUCAAGCUCAUCCAUUUAAAAAUUGGGCUUCUUGCUUGAUGAAAUUCAGUGGACAAAGACGAAAGAAAACGUUUUCAGUUAAAAAGAUCAAAACCGAAAAUAUUCUCCACUCAGUCCGUCGGAAGCAAUUGAAUUGUUGAUGUAUCGACAUAAUAAUAAAACAGGAAAGAGAUUUAUUUAUUUCAAUAUCUUCUUUAGUGAAAAAUAUAGUAAUCUAUUUAUAAAUUUUAUGAAGUGACUAUCUGAAAUAACAAAAUAUUACACAUAUCAAUGACGAUCAAUGAAAAACCAUUCAAUGAUAUGCAUAAUCAAAUGAACAUAGUGCACAAUUAUGAUAGAUAUACAAAAUCAAUGGAGAUUUAAAGAAUCUACUUUAUAUAGAGACAUAGAAGAAGUCAAUUGCAGGUUGGUGCCUUAGUGAAUAUAUUAGCAGUCUUAUCAACUGAAGAAGUGGAGACAAGAUGCGCAAUGUCACGAAGCACGUGAUACACGUGAAACGAUAGUCUCUUUCAAUAUGUUUGGUGCUUUUAAAAAAAAAAACAUUAUUAUAUGCUUUUUGGAUCCAAUUGUCCUAAUAAAUAAGUAUUCUGCCGUUAAGAUGACACUUAUAUGUCCUCUAAUAACCAUUACAAAUACAGUAAUUUUGAUGUUGUAUUAGCAAAAGCAUGAUAUUCAGCUUUCAUGCUAGAUGGAGCGACAAUGGUCUAUUUAUCGUUAUGCUAUAAGAUAAGUGAGUUACUUAGAAAGAAGCAGUAGCGUGUAGUGAAGUAAUAAUCAAGAGGGUCUCCUGCCCAAUGAGCGUUAGAUUUAGUUAAAAAGAUUGAACUGAAAAAUGAUCUCCACUCAAUCUGUUGAAAACAAGUGAAUCACUUAGUUCAAUGGAAGAAUCGCCACAUGAAUAAUGGGUAAGGGAUUUUGUCUCAGGGAAUAAACUAUGAAUCCAUUAAAGCUCCAUUCGUUUCACGAAGCACAAUUUCCAGAAAAGUACUUUUUGGAUUUUCUGACAUUCAUUUCCUAAAAAAUGAACUAAUUGUGAAAAGCAUUUUCCAUCGACAAAAAGAGUUUUCUAAAAUAGAGAAAAUGGUUUCCACUUUUCAAGAUGAAGAAAACAUUUUUUCUUACUUAGUUUCUCUUAUCUCAUACCUAUGUCAACCUUUUCAUCUUUUUUCCUUGAAAAAAAUCGAAUUUUCAAUUAUUUUUCCUUUUCUUGUUUUUCACUUUCAAGCUCGAAACUCAUUGGAAUUUGGCGAGUCUUAAGCUCGCCUUUGGCCAGUCGCUGGCCAUCACCAUGGUUGAUCAAAGAAGAAGAAUAUAAAAAGAAAGAAAAGAAAAAGAAAAAUUAAAAUAAUUUAAAAAUCGAUUUCAAGAAAAAAAAUUUAAAAAAAAUUAUUGAAAAAGAGUGCAUGGAGGAAAACAUUUUUCUUAUCGAACAACAGAAAAUAUUUUAUAAUUUAUUUUCAAAUUUCAGUUGCACACUACAAAAUAUAGCUACCUUCUUGAAAAAUGGUUUCCUAGAAAAUAACUUUUGGAAACAUCACAUUUUAUGUGAAAAGAAUAGAAUCUUAAUUGAAAAAUGAUUCGUUUGACAUAGCCUGGAGAUAGGCUUCUUUGUCCAUUGGCAACUAGGAAUACAACCCCAAAGUGCCAUUAUUAUUAUUUUGCCCCAAUUUCAAAUGCAAAUAGGCCUUCUAUUUAUUUUAGGGAAAAUUGCAAAAAAGGGCUCGAAGUGUUCUCAUCUUCUCAAGUAAGAGCUCGAAGUGGACCUUAUUUCAAAUAAGCGCCUGAAGUGCUAUCACUUUAUCAAAUAAGGGAUUGAAUUGAAUUUUCUUUUGAAUAAGGGCUUGAAAUGGUUAUGCCCGUUUCAAAUAAGAGUCUAAAGUAAUUAUAUUUAUUUUAAAUAAGGGCUUUCUCUUCUUUUUUUCCCUUCCUUUUUUAUGGUUCUUCUUCUUCCUCUUCAUCGGUGGUCAAAAGGUUGGGCGAGGAUCGUCUUCACCCAAUUCGGCGAGUGCCACCCGUAUCAACCAAAAGUGAGGAACGGGUUCACCUAGGUGAGGCCACCCUUGCGGCCAUUUGCAAGGGCUCGACAACCUCGUCGGCCACGGGUGAGGGUGGCCUCGCUCACAAUCAGCAAGGGCUUGCAGGCCAUUGUUAGCCAUUCCUAGUAGCUAGCAAGAUCGUUGACCCCUUGCAAAGAAAAAAUAAGAUAAAAGAAAAGAAAAUUUGGAUGAAAACUUCUUGGCUGGUUGGAUAAUUUAGUUGGCCGACAACCGCCGAAGUCGGACCAUUAUUUAAAACAACAAUGGCUAUAUCAAUGCCUUUAUUUAAAACAAUUGAUGCCAUUUCAAAUUCUUAUUUGAAAUAAGGUCUAUUUCGGGUUUUUAUUUGAAAAAAUGAGGCACUACAAGACUUUUUUUUGAAAUUUUCCCUUUAUUUUAUUUUAGGUUGCAAUUCAUGCCCGUGGACUGAACUAAAAUAUACUCUUUCUCUCUCUCUCUUUUUUUUUUUUUUCAACUUAAAAAAGCCGCUUGAUCAAAUAUUAUUUAUCUUUAGCAAAUGCACCUUGAAUCAAGGGGGAAAUGACUUCGCAUUUCUUCAGAAGUCUUCCAAACGCAAGUGCUCAUGUCAACAUUUGCAUCAAGAUUUCUAACCUUUCGUUUCGAAAAAGUAUAGUUGCUGCGAUUUUUCUUUUCGUAUUUUAUAAAAUAAAAAUAAAAAGUCAAAAACACACGGCGCAUCACGUUGACCAUCAACAGUCAAUGCAUGCCGAUCAGCAGGCGCUGUCCAUGUCUCGAUCUCAUCGUCACAAGCGAAGAAUGUGAACCAAGCGAUCAACCAUCGAUCUUCGAAGGAGAAGACUUCACAGAUUGCGCUUCUUCCGUCGGCGAUCGUCCUCACUUCCUCUCCAAUCGCCUCCCAGCUUCCUCCUGCAUCCUGAAAAUCCGUAUGGCGGCGGCGCUCGUCGGCGGAGCAUUUCUCUCGGCUUUCCUCCAGGUGCUCUUCGAUCGGAUGGCCUCCCGCGAGGUCGUCGACUUCUUCCGGUCGCGCAAGCUCGACCAGGGGAGGCUGCUCCAGAAGCUGGAGGCUGCGCUCCUGUCCGCGAACGCCGUGCUGGACGACGCGGAGGAGAAGCAGAUGACCAACGACUCCGUCAGGAAGUGGCUCGACGAGCUCAAGGACGCCGUGUACGACGCCGACGACCUGUUCGACGAGAUCGCCACUGAAGAUCUGAAGUGCGAAGCCGGGGUCGAGCCUCGGGCUCUCGUUUCUAAGGUCUGGAGCUUUGCUGCAGACGCUCGUAGGAGUAAAUUGGGGGAUAAGUUAGAGAGGGUUCGGGAGAGAUUGGGGGAUAAGUUAGAGAGUAAAUUGGGGGAUAAGUUAGAGAGGGUUCUGGAGAGAUUAGAGAGCGUGGUGAAGCAGAGAGAAGUGCUGGGCCUAAGGGAAGGCAUUCGCAGGAGGACGGCUAGAGCUUUGCCGACCACUUCGUUGGUCGAGGAAUUGGGAGUUUUCGGGAGGGAGAAGGACAGGGAGGCGGUGAUCGACUUGCUCUUGUCAGAUCGGGGCGAAAAUAACACCAGCGUGAUGGCCAUCGUUGGGAUGGCCGGUGUCGGUAAGACAACGCUAUCUCAGCUCGUGUUCAACGAUGUUGCGGUGAAGGGGAGUUUCGAGUUGAGGGCGUGGGUUUCCGUGUCCGACCAAUUCGACAUCUGCAAGCUGACGGCGACGGCUCUCGAGGAGUUCUCCUCCCCGUCUAAGAAGGAGACCGAAAAUCUCAACCAGCUUCAGCUCCAACUGAAGGACUUCUUGACUGGGAAGAAAUUCCUAUUGGUGUUGGAUGAUGUUUGGAAUGAGGACUCAAAUCUUUGGGAUGCGUUCCUAGUUCCAUUUAUCUAUGGAGCAAGAGGCAGCAAAAUCGUCGUGACGACACGAAAUGAAAAUGUCGCAUCGGUUGCUCGUGCCUUCUCGAAAUACUAUUUACAGAAGUUACAAGACAAGGAAUGUUGGGACUUGUUCGCAAAACAUGCAUUUGACGAGCAUAACUUCGAGGCGCGCACGAGACUUGAAGAAAUCGGGCGAAGAAUUGUAAAGAGAUGUGAUGGAUUGCCUCUUGCGCUGAAGACUAUAGGUAGCUUGUUACGCGGUGAGUCUGAUAUCAGGAAGUGGGAAAAUAUUGCAGAGAGUUAUAUUUGGAAUUUGGCACCUGGAAAGAAUGGAAUUCUCCCUGCGUUGUUGUUAAGUUAUCAUUACCUUCCUCCACAACUGAAACGAUGUUUCGCUUAUUGUUCACUCUUCCCAAAGGAUUGUAUAUAUGAGAAGGACCAGCUGAUCUUACUUUGGAUGGCUGAGGGUUUGAUAGAACAACCUAACGACAGCAGGACAUUAGAGGAGGUAGGUGAUCAAUGCUUCUGUGAUCUUGUGUCUAGAUCUUUGCUUCAUAGAGUAAGUGAUGUCGAAUCAAGCUUCUCGAUGCAUGACCUGGGAGUAAGCGAUGUGAAAUCGAGCUUUUCGAUGCAUGACCUGGUCAAUGACUUAGCAAGAUAUGUAGCUGGUCGUUCUUUUUUCAGCUUGGACGGAGGCAAUGCACACCAAGUGUCCUCAAGCACUCGCCAUUUGUCAUUUGUAAGAACUCAAUGUGAUGUCGCUUCCAGAUUCAAAGUGCUAGCCGGGGCAACGAAUUUGCGUACUUUCCUGCCGCUGAACGUGGAUCAUGUGAGAUUUCGCGAGUGCAAUUUGUUGACUGAUGAGGUACUGCAUGUUCGGUUGCCGCCCCUGAGACAGUUAAGGGUGCUAUCUUUGUCUCAUUAUUGGAAAAUCUCUACGUUGCCCAGUUCAAUUGGACGUUUGAAGCAUCUGCGCUAUUUGAAUCUCUCCCAUAAUGAUAGUCUAAUCAGAUUGCCUGAUACAAUUACAGCUCUAUACAACUUGCAAACCUUAAUUCUUGCUUACUGUUGUUCUCUCGUUGAGUUACCGAGCAACAUGGGCAGCCUAACCUGUCUGCGUCAUCUUGAUAUAAGGAAGACAUCCCUGAAGAGAAUGCCACAGGGGAUGAACAGACUGAAGAAUUUGCAGAUAUUAACUAAUUUCGUGGUGGCCAAAAACGAUGGGACUAGGGUUAGGGAGCUAGGGGAGCUAGGGGAUCUUAUGGGUACACUCUCCAUACAGGGUUUGCAGAAUGUUGAUAGUUACCGAGAUGCUGAGACAGUCAAUUUGCGGGAAAAGAGGUACUUGAAAAAGUUAGUACUGCAAUGGGGUUCUGAUAACAAUAUUAUGCAGCAAAAUUGCUUAAAUGUAUUGGACGAGCUGCAACCUCACUGGAACUUGAGAGAGCUUAUCAUUACAUCCUAUAGUGGUAGGUCAUUUUCCAAUUGGCUGGGACACAGUUCAUUCUCUAAUAUGUCUGUCGUGCGUCUUGAGACAUGCAAGCACUGUGUGUCAUUGCCUCCUUUAGGACAGCUACCAUCUCUGGAGAGGUUGAUAAUCGAAGGAUUUGAUGGAGUUACAAGUGUGGGUACUGAAUUCAAUGGUAGUAACUGUAUACCUUUUCAGUCACUAAAGUACUUGGAAUUUGCUGACAUGCACAGUUGGAAAGAGUGGGCUUCUUUUGCAAUAGAGACAAGAGGUCUUACCUUUGCACAUCUGCAGCAGCUUUGUAUUAGAAAUUGCCCGCGGUUGAGUGGAGGUUUACCCGGCCAUCUCCCUUCUCUAACAACCUUGUCCAUUGGAAAGUGCCCACAGCUAGCGUCUUCUCUACCAAUUGCACCACUUCUCCGUGAGAUCAAGUUGGAUGAUUGUGGAAAGGUUUCGGGAGUUGAGCCUCUCGUAAAUGGCACUGAGUUACGAGAUAUUGAAAUCAAGAAUCUUUCAACUCUUCCCUCGAGGUUUCUUCCUCCUACCAUGACAAGACUCCAUCUUGAAGACUGUCAUGAAAUAGAGUUGCCAAUACAUAGAUGCCAUGAAUCUCUCCAACAUCUAAACUUAUGGCGGAGCUGCGAUUCACUUGUAUCCUUUCCUCUGGAAAUUUUCCCCUCGCUUAAGAAAAUUCAGUUGCGGGAGAUUCAAAAUUUGGAACGUCUUUCAAAUUCAUACGGUUCUCCACUUCUUUCGAUGUACAUUAGUUGUUGUCCUGAAUUUAGAUCUUUCCCUGCGAAAGAAUUUUCUGCCCCAUGCCUCACUUCAUUAGAGUUGGAUCACUGCUGUCAUCUAAACUAUCUGCCAGAAAACAUGCAGGCUCUCCUUCCUUCGCUUCGGUCACUGAAAAUAUCCUCAUGUCCACAACUCGAGUCAUUUCCCGAGCGGGGUUUACCCUCCAAGUUGGUGGCGCUUUCACUCUUUGAUUGUAACAAGCUCAUCACUAGCCGCCAGGAUUGGGGUCUUAAGUCACUAUGCUCUCUUGAAACUUUUGCCAUUGGGCAAGACAAAAAUAUAGACUCAUUUCCUGAGAUAGGGCUUCUGCCAACCUCUCUUACCUUUUUGAAUAUAUUUGGCUUUGAGAAUCUGACGUCCCUGAACUCCAAAGGGCUUCAUAGCCUGAGCUCUCUUGAAAAACUUUUUAUUAACCAGUGUCCUAAGCUCCAUUCGUUCCCAAAAGAGGGACAAAUUCUGCCGCCUUCUCUUACCAGUCUGGUGAUUUUUAAUGUGGGUCUAAAAUCACUGGAUAACUUAGGGCUCCACCACCUCACUUGUCUCAAAAACUUCCGCAUAGUUGGCUGCGGAAGUCUUCGAUCCAUGCCAGCGAAGGGCUUGUCAUCCUCCCUUUCCUAUCUAUUUGUCCAUGGGUGCCCUUUGCUGGCGAAAAGAUGCCAGCGGAAGAAAGGAAAAGAUUGGCUCCUAGUUUCGCACAUUCGCUGCAUCGUGAUUGAAGGUGUGCUCGUCACAUGAUCUUAUAUCUUGUUUUACAAUCCCUCCUUUUACCAAGAUCUCACUCAGGUGUCUCCCUUGGCCCUACACUAAGUAAGCUAUUUAUUUAUUCACGACAUACUUCAGUCGCUCUGUGAUCAAGCACUAACAUCUGCCUGUAUUUGCCACAUGCUACUCUAAUAAUGCUCCACAAUGGAGAUUAUAUGUAGUUUUACCGGCUUUCCAUUGUUGUUCCUACAAUUGGGCUGCAUAAUUUAUUUAUUGGUUGACGAAUUAUUUAGCUAGAGCGCCUACUUUUCCCCUUCUCCAUUCUCUCUAUAUAAAUCGCACUGCCAUACUUCAGCUAAGCAUCUGUCACAAUCUUUAUACCCUCAUCUGGAAAUGAUUAUUUUAUUGCUACUUUAUGUUGCCAUCAGUUAACAGUAGUUAAUAGAGCAAAGAGAUUCAUGGCCAUCUAAAGAAGGCCUAGCCUUGAUUGGGCCAUCCGGAUGAAAUUAUUUUUUCUCACGUCCUCAAGUUAAAAAGAGAAUAAAUUUGCUCUUAUCAACGCAUGCUUUCUGUUGCAUAAAGCUGGAUAAUAUUUCGAGGGAGACGUAAAUUCUUAAGACUUGGCAUGACUCAUGAAUGACCUGUGCUACGCUUGCUAGAACAGUGUGGUAUCAUGGGUGGAGUGUGUUUCUGUUUGCUUUAUAUUUUUAUUUGUCAAUUUCAGCUUAACAUCACUCUAAAGUUGUACAAUUUAACAAAUAUUCCCUACCGACAUGUAGAAUUCUAAUCCAUGGAAUGUGAAAAUGAACAGUUCAAGAGAUGCGAGUGACUCGGUUUUUUGUAGUGACAUCUCCACUUUUGUCACUAAUUAUAUCAUGAUAUCCAACUAAAUCCGUCAAACAGAAGUCUAAAAAAAGUGUGAAAAAGUUAGGUUUUUAUUUGUUGAAGUUGAAAGUUUGCAUCUCAAAAUGCAAUUUGAUCAAAUUAUAUGAACCUAUUGUAAUUUACCCUAUUUUGAGAGAAUAUAGUUUCUUUUGAGGGAAUUUAAGUGGUUUUAUGUGCACUAACUGUUGAGGAGCUUCUGUGGUUGGAGAUAGAGCUGGAAAUGUAUUGCUGGCUUUUAGCUCGAUUAGAGUAUCCUUUAGUUGUUAAUACUUGUCUUUCAAUCAUUGCAGGUGGAGUGCUUCUAGAUGGGGCUAGACUAACUAAUGUUCCAAAAAUACAUUAUGCAUCCACGAUUAGCAAUACAGGCACUUGCUUUAUUGAGAUGCAUGAAUGAAUUGUGUUAGAAAAAGUCGAACAAUGUGGGAUUAGUAUUGGCAUGGAAUAGUUAAUAUAUCUUAGUUGGCCAUUGCUUUAAGCUUUUGAGUAAAAGUGGCCUAACUGGAUUAAUUGAAAGGUUUGGACUUGGUCUCUCUCUUGGUUUCCGCUACGCGCUCCCAAGCCAAUCAUUGAUUGGUGGCAACCUGUUGGCGCAAAAGAAUACUUGGAUUAAGGAGGAAGUAUACUAAACAUCGAGCUUACAUGUAAGAGGGAGAUAAGAACUGAUGUGGUGUGGACUUAAUAUAUCUUAGUUGGUCCAUGAUUCAUUGACUUAAGCUUUUGAGUAUAUGUUAGGUCCGACUAUAUUUAUUGACGAGGUCGAACUUAGGUUCUCUCUUGGUGAUCUCCCAUGUGAUGGCAUUGGGUUUUUGCUAGGCACUACCAACAUGCAGUGGUGGAUGUCGAAUUCUGCUUUGGAUGGACCUAUUCUUCUCCCACGAUAUCAAGAUAGUUUCAGUAAGAGGGUUGUGAGACAGUAAUGCUCAGUCUUCGCAAGAUGAGUGGAUUCUGAGGAUAUGGAGCAGCAUAGGCAAUGGGAUGGUGGAAAUUGGCAAGGAAAACAAAUCCAUUUUUCAUGCAGUCAGCAAGCCAAGUGAUCACUGGAAAUGACAGAAUCAAGGUCAACUAGGAGUAUCGAAAUUUCAUUGUCACUUUGCAACUUGUGAGAAAUUGUUUACCGAUGAGUGCGAGUGCAGGAGAGGCACUCCAAUGCGAUUGCAACGUUUAAUUAAACGCAACAACAUGCCAUGGGGAAGUACUUGCCUAAUGGUUUGGUUCGAUUGUUGUUUAUGCAAGCUGACACUUGUCGUAGUGGAGAAACAAGAAACCAUUCAAGGUAAAGCGGAUCCAAAGCAUGACCUGUAGUUGUACAUCCCAGGUGUCGAUGUUGUAGCAUUGGAAGCAAGGAUCAUAUCGGAAACUGAUGAUGGGCAUGAGAUGAGUGGGUUAUGGAGAGAUUGUUUGAUAUAGCUUUUCGAUGGUAGUUGUGACAGUAAAACUGGAUGCUUUUGCUUUCGCAAGGUAACAUCUCAUAAUUAUCAUAUGGAACCGGGAAGCUGUCCCGUCUAGCUUUUAGCUGUUGCUAUGUGUUACUUGUGACAUCCUGAUUUCGAGUCUGAUUUCGAUGAGAUGAAAUGGGCUUUUCAUCGACGCGCUUAUAGCCUUAUUCUCUGAGAGGGGCCCUCAUGGGUGAAAUCAUUAAUGGAUUUUAACGCAAUAAACUUGAGAAUUCGACUAAGAGUCGACUACUCGACCGUGUUGAUUUGCAAGGGUCAUUACGACAUUGCCAGAAAUCGAUCAGGGACCAGAGUGUGGGUGAUUCCACCUGAUUGCAAAAUAAUCAUCGAUCGACACUAGACCGAUUUUUCUAUCGUUUUGGUACCCGGUACCCGUAAAUGAAAUCUCGAGAUUUUCACGACAAUUGAGGGUCGCCAAUAUGUCGAAGAUAUACAAUGUGACUCGAGAUAAAUUGAUCACAGGUCAAUUGCACCAAAAAUUCCUAGAAGUUAUCCGGUCAUGCUAAAAGCGUGCCGAAUUGAAAUUAAUCGCGAACUGGAACCUGAUUUCAGAAAUCGAAAGUUCUGUCAUGUUACAAUCUAUUUUAGGAAUUUCGACUCAUCCUUCAAAGAAUUUUCGGAGAUCCUGGUAUUUUUAUGGAAAUUUGUUUCAGACGUUGCGGAAAAUUAGCGGAAAUUCGGAUGAACCAAAUUAAAAAAAAUUGGGACUUCCAAGCCGAGCCUUUGAGCGUCAGAGACUUACAGAAAAUUGUUUGGGUUGUUUCCUUGGCAAAAUUGGACCUCAAUACGGAGAUUUGAGUGAGGAAUUGAAGUUAAUAUUGGUAAAAUUCGGAUUAAGGCAUGGGGAAGCAUCUUUGGCUUCAAAAAUUGGAUAAUUGGUGGUUUAUUUUGUGGAUUAUAAGGCUGGAAAGUAUUAUGAGACAUUAGAAUAUUUGUGAGGAGUUUGAGGGGACCAAGCAAUCAAUGGAAGGGAUAGAAUUGGUGGGCUUCUUUAGCAAGUCAAGGCCGCCGCCCUCCUCCUUCUUGCGUUUCAAUCCGUCGACCCCUUCUGCUUUUGCUCUCGCUCUCAUUAUUUGCUUUCUACCUCAUCCCCAUUUUCAUUUAUUCCUCACGCCUCUUCCCAUCAUCAUCACCAAUCCAUCAUCCAACGUCCACCAAUUUCUCCACUCACUCUCUUCCUCGCAGCCAUAUAAGCCCACGAACGAAGCCUCCACUAAGUCAAACUUUCUUGGCCUAUUUUGGUUGUUGACUCCUCUUGCCGGGCGUCUUUCAAUCCACGAGACUGCAGCUCCACCACUUCCUCUCUCUCUCUCGUUGAACCCUCUGCCAUCUCACGUCCGAAGUUCCAUCCCUCUUCUCCACCGAAAUUCAACAACAGCUGAAGACCACUGAAGCCACGAAACAGCUUCCGUUCAUCCACCGAGAUCCCAUCUCUUAACGUGCUGCUGCCUGCCACUCCAUGCUAGCGCCUUUUGAAGACCGAGCAAAUCAACGCCUCCAUGAUUUCCAUUUGUCCAGCAACCGAAUCUACACGUCCCAGCUUCUUCGGUCAAAACCCCAAGUCGAAGCCCUUCCAUCAUCGACCGAAGCCGUCCCACGAAUCGUCCAGCAGCUUCGGUCUAUUUCAUCUCGUGGAUCAGCCGCAACAAAGUCUGCAGCCCAUCCAACCUGUUCUCAGCCCAGUUGAAGUCUUCAAGUCCAGCAAGUGUCUUCGGCCCAUUGGAUUUUGGCCCAAUCUAGCGAAGCCCAACAAGAUCAGAAGCCCGCAAUUUUGGGGCCCAAGCCCACAAAGUCAGCCCGCUUCAGGCCCGGUCCAAUUCAAAAACAAAUCUCAUAGUGGACUAAGAUUUGUUGGGCCCGUUUUAGACUCGACCCGAGUGUUCGCCAACGCCGCCGAAAAUUCAGAUUUCGGCCGUUGUCGCGUCGUCAUUGCGGUGAACCGGUUUCCGCAAUUAACCGGUGAGUUUAUUUACUAAACUCUUCUUAGUAGACUAAUGACGUCUAAGGGGUGUUUAGAUUUAUUUAAUUAGAAAUUAGGUGGUUAGUUAGAUUAAUUUAGUGAUUUAAUUAUGUACUUAUGCAUGUUAGGUGGUUAAAUUAGAUUAAGUGAGGCCUAGAUAAAUUGUGUUAUUUAUCUAGAAGGGUUCGGGAAUUUUCCGGGUCCGUAUUGGUAUUUAAUUUAGUGAUUUUGGCCUAGGUUGGCAUUUUAGUAUUUAAAUUGAUUUAUUUAAUUAAUUUUAGAAAUUAUUUAAUAAUUAAUUCUUUUUCGGAAAUUAGUCCUGGAUAGCUGGUGACUGGAGUUGCGUACUGAUUGCAAUGGUGUGUUCAAUUUUUGCAGUUGGAUGUUAAUUUGUGCAAAUUGAGUGCUGAUUCAAUUCCAAAAAUUAUGAAUUUCGAUAUUUAUUCAGAAAAUCCCGAGUAUUGGGUUUUAACACCAAAAAUAGUUUUAUACACUAUAUAAACCAGUGGGAUUUUAAAUUGGAGAUAUCAAUUUUUCUAGUGUAAAUUGACCGUGUACCCAUACACAACUAUUUUACCGUGUAUUUAUAAUACGAAGAAAAUAGGCCAGGUUCACUAUUUUAAUUGAGACAUUUGAGUACAAUGCACAGUGUCCUGGGUCGAGAUUGAUUGGUCGUGUGUUGGUUAAGAAAAACUGUCAUAGGCUAUUAAGCCGGACGUUACCCAUUCAUUGGGACUCGGGUCGUAGUAGAUUUUGGACCUACGCUCCUUUGGGAAAGCCGUCUAAUUGAGAGACGUCGUCGUGCUCAUGGUGGGAGACAAAGCCUGGUUAUGCCAGAAGACACCAAACUUAUGAGUAGGUUGUACUCAGGUUGCAGUAGAUUUUGGACCUACGCCCCUUCAGGGAAGUCGUCUAAUGGAGAGACGUCAUCGUGCUCAAAGGAGGUGAGACGACGCCUGGCAAUGCCAAAAGACCGCCAAUUUUGGAGUUAGCCGUACCUUUAACUGGUAUAAUUAACAAUUGGAACACAUGAUGGUUGAGUUUGAUGCACUUGAUUAUGAGAUCAAAACUGUGUGGCGUGGAACAGGUUCCUAGUGAUUAAUUGAAUUGAUGAGAUGUUCCAGUUGUUAUGUGCAUUAGUUAUAUGCAUUGCGAUAUGAAUUAUACUGACCUGCAUGAAGGAACUGAGGCGAGGUAAGUUCCUUGUUCUAAUUGUAUGGUUGUGUGGCUAGAGCGCCCUGAAGCGUAUUUCCCUCCUAAUCAGGGUUUAAUGGGUGUACUUGCUAAAACAUUGUUUCACUGGUUAUUGAAUAACCAUUUUCAGGUCCUUAGAAGGCGGUCGUGGAAGACCAAGGUCUCAAAGUCUAAGGAGGAGAAAUAUGGAGGACCAGUGGAUAUGUCCUAUCAGUAUGUCGUAGAACAGCCUCUUGUGAGAGUCGAUCAUUUUCUAGGCUUUCGACUAAACUCGUUUUGUGCCUGAAUCUCGUUGUUUAUAGAAGUGUGCUUUUAUGAAUUGAUAUCAUUCUUUUCUAUCCUGAGAUAAUUAUUGUUAGGGGAUUUAUUUUCACUUCCGCAUGUGCUUAAAAAUCAAUGGGUCGGCGACUCGUCUGGGGAAGUCACAAAAUUUUAUCGACCAGAGAGGGAUGGGCACGCGCUUAGGGUUCGAGGCGUGACAUUACCAAAUGAUCGCAACUACGAUUAUACCAAACGGGCCCCGAGUUGAGCUUCAUAGUCUAUACAAGAUCGGGAGGGUUUGAAGAAUUGGUUGGUUGAUUCUUCCCUCUCUUUGGUUGAGUGGUUCAUCUCUUCUUCAAAAGCACCUCUAAUUCUCUAGGACAGACUUAAGCAAGGAGAGGGUAUAUCUCCUCCAUUCAAGCGUGUACCCCCAUUCAAGUGUGUACUCGUUUUGCUAUAGGAGGGUAUAACAUAUAAUGAAUAAGUGAAUUUGGGGUCUUGUACGAGUCGACUUAUUUGUCAUGUUUGAGUUUGAAAUCAUCAUAUGUACAUCAAAAGUAGUGGUGUAUGUAUAUAUAAGGAUGAACAACCUGAUUUGAAUGAAUCACAUAGUUAAGAAAGAUGAAUCAAAUAACCUUCAUUUCCAAUUUCAAAAUCUGUAAAGGCGUCAUUUCUCGAUAUGGAGAACCAGUACAGAAACCUUGUGGCUAUGCAAGAUAGACAAUUAUUUUGAAACGAUGUAGUGUAUUCUACUAGUCAACGCCGGCAUAACUAGCAGUGGAUGCCGAUCCUGAUGUAACUAUUUUGAAAUGAUGUAGUGUAAUAUAUCAACUCCAGCACAACUAGUAGGUGGAUGCUGAUCCUGAUUUAACUCCCACAAAUUCGCAAGUGAGAAGGGGAGAUGAAGCAUCUAAGAAAGAGAAAAACUCUUUCGCUCGCUAAAUAACUUGGACAUAUAGACCAACAAGAAUUGUGAUCUUCCUAGCACUAGCGUUCACCCAACCAAAACACCCACAGCAACUCGAAAGUGAUCGGGAAAAAGAUAGACUGCAAGACAAGAUGCACGACGCAAGUCAUAUCUCGCAACAUAAUAUCAUCAGGGUAGUUAACAAAUAGCAUCUCCUAGUCUCAAUUCGUCCAACUGAGGAACAACAUAGCACGACCCCUGUUUUAAACUGAAAUUUAUCAAUUUCUAGCAUCGCAUUCCCGAGCAUCAACUAGGCUAGACAUGUGCAUAAGAGUGAAGUCGUGCAUGAUUGUGCAGCAAACAGAGCACAAGAAGAAAACCACCUAACUGAUCCAACCAAACCUCAAAAACAGAAAUGGUUAUGGGUACGUACAGUCGUGAGGCAAACUCCUAUUGGACAGUUCCAAAAUGACCACCUAGCUCAAUACAGUUCUCCAUAGUUUACCGUAUCACUUGAUUAAAUAUCGUUUAUCUUGGGCGAAUGCACCUUAUUUUAGAAGGGAAAUGACCCCGCAUUCUUCAAAAGCCUUCCAAACGCAAGUGCUCAUGUCGAUAUUUGCAUCAACGUUUCCAAUGUCUCAGUUUCAAAAAAUUACAGUUUUUCUUUUUUAAUAAAAAAAACAGUCGAAACCACAUGGUCCAUCACGUUGACCCAUCGUUGGUCAACGUAUAUGCCAACCAGCAAGCGCUGUCCAUGUCCACUUCGAAGGAGAAAGACUUCACAGACCGCUGCUUCUUCUUCUUCUUCCGUCGGCGAUCGUCUUCACUUCUUCUCCAAUCGGCUUCCAGCUUCCUCCUGCAUCCUGAAAUUCCCUAUGGCGGCGGCGCUCGUCAGCGGAGCAUUUCUCUCGGCUUUCCUCCAGGUGCUCUUCGACUGGAUGGCCUCCCGCGAGGUCGUCGACUUCUUCCGGUCGCGCAAGCUCAGCAAGGGGAGGCUGCUGCAGAAGCUGGAGGCUGCGCUCCUGUCUGCGAACGCCGUGCUGGACGAUGCGGAGGAGAAGCAGAUGACCAACGACUCCGUCAGGAAGUGGCUCGACGAGCUCAAGGACGCCGUGUACGACGCCGACGACCUGUUCGACGAGAUCGCCGCCAACGAUCUAAAGCGAGAAGCCGGGUACGAGCCUCGGGCCCUCGCUUGUAAGGUCUGCAGCUUCGCUUCGGACGCUUGUACGAGUGGACUAGGGGAUAAUUUAGAGAAGGUUCUGGAGAGAUUGGAGAGCGUGGUGAAGCAGAGAGAAGUGCUGGGCCUAAGGGAAGGUAUUCGCGAGAGGACGCCUAGAGCUUUGCCGACCACUUCAUUGGUCGAGGAAUCGGGCAUCUUCGGGAGGGAGAAGGACAGGAAGGCGGUGAUCGAGUUGCUCUUGUCGGAUCGGGGCGAAAAGAACACCAGCGUGAUGGCCAUAGUUGGGAUGGGCGGUGUUGGCAAGACCACGCUAUCUCAGCUCGUGUUCAACGAUGAUGUGGUGAAAAGGAGUUUCGAGUUGAGGGCGUGGGUUUCAGUGUCCGACCAAUUCGACAUCUGCAAGCUGACGGCGAUGGCUCUCGAGGAGUUCUCCUCGUCUAAGAAGGAGGCCGAAAAUCUCAACCAGCUUCAGCUCCAGCUGAAGAACUUAUUGACAGGGAAAAAGUUUCUAUUGGUCUUGGAUGAUUUUUGGAAUGAGGACUUCAAUAUUUGGAAUGCGUUCCUAGUUCCUUUUACCUAUGGAGCAAGAGGCAGCAAAAUCAUCGUGACGACACGAAAUGAAAGAGUCGCAUCGGUUGCUUGUGCCGUCUCAACAUACCCUUUACAGAAGUUGCAAGACAAGGAAUCGUGGGACUUGUUCACAAAACAUGCGUUUGACCAGCAUAACUUCGAGGUGCGCUCGAGACUUGAAGAAAUCGGGCGAAGAAUUGUAAAGAGAUGUGAUGGAUUGCCUCUUGCGCUGAAGACUAUAGGUAGCUUGUUACGCAGUGAGUUUGGUAUCAGGAAGUGGGAAAUAAUUGCAGAGAGUGACAUUUGGGAUUUUCCACCUGGAAAGAAUGAAAUUCUCCCUGCGUUGUUGUUAAGUUAUCAUUACUUUCCUCCACAACUGAAACGAUGUUUUGCCUAUUGUUCAGUCUUCCCAAAGGAUUGUAGAUAUGAGAGGGACCGGCUGAUCUUACUUUGGAUUGCUGAGGGCAUGAUAAAACAACCUAACGACAGCAGGACAUUAGAGGAAGUAGGUGAUCAGUGCUUCUGUGAUCUAGUGUCUAGAUCUUUGCUUCAUAGAGUAAGCGACGUCGAAUCAAGUUUCUGGAUGCAUGACCUGGUCAAUGACUUAGCAAGAUAUGUAGCUGGUCGAUCUUUUUUUAGCUUGGAUGGAGGCAAAGCACACCAGGUGUCCUCAAGCACUCGCCAUUUGUCAUUUGUAAGAACUGAGUAUGAUGUCGCUUCUAGAUUCAGAGUGUUAGCUGGGGCAAUGAAUUUGUGUACUUUCCUGCCGCUAAACAUGGGUCAUGUGAGAUUUUACGAGUACAAUUUGUUGACUGAUGAGGUACUGCAUGUUCUGUUGCCGACCCUGAGAUGGUUAAGGGUGCUAUCUUUGUCUCAUUAUCAGAAAAUCUCUACAUUGCCUAGUUCAAUUGGAUGUUUGAAGCAUCUGCGCUAUUUGAAUCUCUCCAAUAAUGCUAGUCUAAUCAGAUUGCCUGAUUCAAUUACAUCUCUAUACAACUUGCAAACCUUAAUUCUUGCUUACUGUUGGUGUCUCGUUAAGUUAUCGAGAAACAUGGGCAGCCUAACCUGUCUAUGUCAUCUUGAUAUAAGGUGGACAUCCCUAGAGAGAAUGCCGUGGGGGAUGAACAGACUGAAGAAUUUGCAUAUAUUAACUAAUUUGGUGGUGGCCAAAAACGGUGGGACCAGGUUUAGGGAGCUAGGGGGGCUAGAGAAUCUUAUGGGUACACUCUCCAUACAGGGUUUGCAUAAUGUUGAUAGUUACCGAGAUGCCGAGAUAGUCAAUUUGCAGGGAAAGAGCUACUUGAAAAAGUUAGUACUGGAAUGGGGUUAUGAUGACAAUAUUACGAAGCAAACUAGCUUAAAUGUAUUGAACAAGCUGCAACCUCAUUGGAACUUGAGAGAGCUUAUCAUUAUAUCCUAUGGUGGUAGGUCAUUUUCCACUUGGCUGGGACACGGUUCAUUCUCUAAUAUGUCAGUCGUGCGUCUUGAAUCUUGCAAGCACUGUGUGUCAUUGCCUCCUUUAGGACAGCUACCAUCUCUGGAGAAGUUGAUAAUCGAAGGAUUCGAUGGAGUUACAAGUGUGGGUACUGAAUUCAAUGGUAGUAACUGUAUACCUUUUCAGUCACUUCAGUACUUGGAAUUUGGUGGCAUGUGCAGCUGGAAAGAGUGGGCUUCUUUGGCAAUAGAAACAGGAGGUCUUGCCUUUGCACAUCUGCAGGAGCUUUGUAUUACAAAUUGCCCCCAGUUGAGUGGAGGUUUACCCAGCCAUCUCCCUUCUCUAACAGCCUUGUCCAUUGAAGGGUGCUCACAGCUAACGUCUUCNNNNNNNNNNNNNNNNNNNNNNNNNNNNNNNNNNNNNNNNNNNNNNNNNNNNNNNNNNNNNNNNNNNNNNNNNNNNNNNNNNNNNNNNNNNNNNNNNNNNNNNNNNNNNNNNNNNNNNNNNNNNNNNNNNNNNNNNNNNNNNNNNNNNNNNNNNNNNNNUAAUCUCGAGGGCAGUCAUGAAAUAGAAGUGCCAUACACAGAUGCCAUGAUCUCUCCAAUAUCUAAACUUGAAAAGGAGCUGCGAUUCACUUAUAUCAUUUCCUCUGGAAAUUUUCCCCUCACUUAAGAAUAUUCAGUUAAGGAAGAUUAAAAAAUUGGAACAUCUUAAAAUUCUGACAGUUCUCCACUUCUUCUCCAUUCGAUGGACAUUGCUGAUUGCCCUAAAUUUAGAUCUUUCCCUGCGGGAGGAUUGGCUGCCCCAUGCCUCACUUCAUUAGAUUUGAAUGACUGUCGUCGUCUAAAGUAUCUGCCAGAAAACAUGCAAGCUCUCCUUCCCUCGCUUCGGUCACUAACAAUAUCCUCAUGUCCACAACUCGAGUCAUUUCCCGAGAGGGGUUUACCCUCCAAGUUGGUCACGCUUUCACUCUCUAAUUGUGACAAGCUCAUCAUUGGCUACAAGGAUUGGGGCCUUCAAUCACUAUGUUCUCUUAAAACUUUUGUCAUUGGGCAAGAGAAAAAUAUAGUCAUUUCCUGAGAUAGGGCUUCUCCCAACCUCUCUUACCUCUCUGCAUAUCUCUGGCUUUGAGAAUCUGACAUCCCUAAACUCCAAAGGGCUUCAUAGCCUGAGCUCCCUUGAAUACCUGACCAUUGGCAAAUGUCCGAAGCUCCAUUCCUUCCCAAAAGAGGGACAAAUUUUGCCCGCUUCUCUUACCACUCUGUCAAUUUAUGGAGUGGGUCUAAAAUCACUGGAUAACUUAGGGCUCCACCACCUCACUUGUCUCAAAGAAUUUCGCAUAGAUAGCUGCCGAUGUCUUCGAUCCUUGCCAGCGGAGGGCUUGUCAUCCUUCAUUUCCAAUCUAUUUAUCCAUCGGUGCCCUUUGCUGAUGAAAAGAUGCCAUUGGAAGAAAUGGAAAGAUUGGCCCCUAGUUUCGCACAUUCGCUGCAUCGUGAUUGAACGUGUGCUCGUCACACGAUCAUAUAUCUUGCUUUACAAUCCUCCUUUUACCAAGAUCUCACUCAGGUAUCUCCCCUGGCCCUACACUAAGUAAGUCAUUUAUUUAUUCAGGACAUACUUCAGUCGCUUUGUGGUCAAGCACUAACAUCUGACUGUAUUUGCCGCAUGCUACUCUAAUAACACUUCACAAUGGAGAUUAUUUGUAGUUUCACCGGCUUUCCAUUGUUGUUCUACGAUUGGGCUGCAUAAUUUCUUUAUUGGUUGCCGAGUUAUUUAGCUGGAGCGUCUGCUUUUCCCCUUCUCCAUUCUCUCUAUAUAAAUCACACUACCAUACUUCAGCUAAGUGUCUGUCAUGGUCUUUAUAGUCUCACCUGGGAAUGAUUAUUUCAUUGCUACUUUAUGUCGCCAUCAGAUUAUUUCAGCUUUAAGAUCUCACUAUUGUCCACACCUACAAAUGCCAACUUAUAGAACCGUUUGUGCGUGAGCUGACAAUAGUAAAUAGAGCAAAGAGAUUCAUGGUCAUCUAAAGAAGGCCUAGCCUUGAUUAGGCUAUCUAGAUGAAAUUAUUUUUUCUCGAACUCUGGCACGUCCUCAAGUUAAAAAGAGAGUAAAUUUGUUCUUAUCAACAAAUGCUUUAUGUUGUGUAAAGCUGUAUAAUAUUACGAGGGAGACGUAAAUUCUUAAGACCAGGCAUGACUCAUGAUUGACUUGUAUUACGCUUGCCAGUGUUGGCAAAAUAUGCAUCGAAAUUGGGUAGUACAAUGAAAUCGGAUCGAGUAAAACAACUCGGACUUUGAGGCGUGAUAUCACUUUCUUUAAGAAUUUAUUUGCCCCCACAACGUUGCUAAUGGUCACCGACAAAAAUCCUCCAGGAUACAACAAAAUCUCGGAUGAGAAUACUAAAUAGCAAUUCUAGUAUUUCUCCAGGGUCUCUCUAAGAAAACAAUCGAAAAUUUGGCUACAGUUUUUCAGAAAGAAGACUCGAAAAAUGACCACACUUUUCUUUCCAAAAAAUGACAAGUAUAUAUAUGAAACAGUCUUGCAACUCUUCGUGAAAAUUGCGAACAAACAUUUUUUAAAUAGCAAGGGAUUAAGUGCUAAGUGCUAAGUACGCCAAAAUCGCGCAAUUAUUCGCGCACCCACUGCGGGUAUGGUGGGGUCUAGCCCUACCUAAUCACUCCUUUAACUACAAAAGGGAAAUCCCACUUUUUUAAACUGACCCUCCUACUCCCACUUUUUCUAUGUGGGACAAAGUAAAAAGCACUCAUUUUGUUUUAACAAACAAAAUUCCAACAGCCAGAACAGUGUGGUAUCAUAGGUGGAGCAUAUUUCUAUUUGCUUUGUAUGUUUAUUUGUCAAUUUCAGCUAAACAUCACUCUAAGGUUGUACAGUUUAACAAUUUCCCUCACUGCAUGCAGAAUCUUGAUCCAUGGAAUGUGAAAAUGAAACAGUUUAAGAGAUACGAGUGACCCAGCAUUUUGUAGUGGCAUAUCCACUUUUUUCACUAAUUAUAUCAUGACGUCAACUAAAUUCAUCAAACUGAAGGUCUAAAAAGAGUGAAAAAGUUAGGUUUUUAUUUGUUGAAGUUGAAAAUUUGCAUCUCAAAAUGCAAUUCAAUCAAAAUAUAUGGACUUAUUGUAAUUUACCCUAUUUUGAGAGAAUCUAGUUUCUUUUGAGGGAAUUUAAGCGAUUUUAUGUCCAUUGACUUUUGAGGAGCUUCUGUGGAUGGAGAUAGAGCUGGAAAUGUAUUGCUAACUUUUAGCUCGAUUAGAGUAUCCUUUAGUUGUUAAUACUUGUCUUUCAAUCAUUGCAGGUGGAGUGCUUCUAGAUGGGGUAAGACUAACUAAUGUUCCAAAAAAUAAAUGAUGCAUCCAUGAUUAGCAAUACAUGCACAUGCUGUGUUGAGAUGGACGUGUGAAUUGUGUUAGAAAAAGUCCAACAACGUGGGANNNNNNNNNNNNNNNNNNNNNNNNNNNNNNNNNNNNNNNNNNNNNNNNNNNNNNNNNNNNNNNNNNNNNNNNNNNNNNNNNNNNNNNNNNNNNNNNNNNNUGGCCAACUAGAUAUGUUGAAAGUUUUGGACUUGGGCUCUCUCUUGGCUUCCACUACGCGCUCCCAAGCCAAAUUGGUGGCAACCUGUUGUUGCAAAAGAAUGCUUGGAUUAAGGGAGAAGUAUACAUAACAUUGAGCUUACAUGUAAGAGGGAGAUAAGAAUUGAUGUGGUAUGGAGUAAGAGGGAGAUAAAAAUUGAUGUGGUGUAGAGUACUUAUUAUCUCCUAGUUGACCCAUGAUUCAUUGACCGAAGCUUUUGAGUAUAUGUUAGGUCCAACUAUAUUUGUUGAUAGGGUCGAACUUGGGUUGUUCCUUGGCGAUCUCCCAUGUGAUGGCAUCGAAUUUCUGCUAGACACUACCAACAUGCCACGGUGGAUGUCGGAUGCUACUUUGGAUGGACUUAUUCUUCUCCCACGAUAUCAAAAUAGUUUCAGUAAGAGGGUUGUGGUGAGAAAACAAAAUGUUGCUCAGACUUCACAAGACGAGUGAAUUAUGAGGAUCAGGAGCAACAUAGACAAUGGGAUGGUGGAAAUCGGCUAGGAAAACAAAUCCAUUUUUCAUGCAAUCAGCAAGCCAAGUGAUCGACUCUGGAAAUGUCAUAAUCGAGCUCAAUUAGGAGAAUCAAAAUUUCACUGUCGGUUUGCAGCUUGUGAGAAAUUGUUUACCAAUGAGUGCGAGUGCAGGAGAGGCACUCCAAUGCAAUUGCAACGUUUAGUUGAAUGCAACGACAUGCCAUUUGAGAAGUAUUUGCCUGAUGGUUUGGUUGGAUUGUUGUUUUAGCAAGCUGAUACUUGUCACAAUGGAGAAAUAAGAAACCAUUCAAGGUGAAACGGAGCUAACGCAUGGUCUGUAGAGGUACAUCCCAUGUGUUCGAUGUUGUAGCAUUGGAAGCGGAUCGUAUUUGAAACCGAUGAUGGGCAUGAGAAGAGUGGGUUAUGGAGAUAUUGUUUGAUACAGCUUUUCGAUUGUAGCUGUGACACGUAAAACUGUAUGCUUCCGCUUUCGCAAGGUAACAUCUCAAAGCUAUCAUCUGGAACCAGAAAGCUGUCCCAUCUAGCUUUCAGCUUUGUCGCCGUUUGUUACCAAUUGAUCGCAACUAUGAUUGUACCACAUGGGCCUUGAGUGGAGCUUCAUAGCCUAUACAAGAUUAGGAGGGGCUGGAGGAUUGAUUGAGUGAUACUUCUCUCUUUGGUUGAGUGGUUCUUCUCUUCUUCAAAAGCACCUCUAAUUCUCCGGGACACACUUAAAGCAAAGAGCAGGAAUAACUCGUGCAUGCAAGCAUAUACCCGUUUCGUGCUAUCGGAGGGUGUAACAUAUAGUGAAUAAGUGAAAUUUAAGGUCAUGUACAAGUCUUAUUUAUCAUGUUCAAGUUUGAAAGUCAUCAUAUGUAAAUCAACAGUGGCUGUGUAUGUAUAUAUAAGGACGAGCAUUCUGAUUGGUAUGCAUAACAUAGUCGAGAAAGAUGAAUCAAAUAACCUUCAUUCCAGCUUCAAAAUCUGCAAAGACGUCAUUUCCCGAUAUUUUUCAAACUUUUUGAGCAUUGCCCUAGCCAUAGAACUAAUAGCCUCAUCCUCAGUAUCCCUUGCCUGUAUUAAACGAAGCUGAAUCUGCCAUACUCCAUAAAAAUAUAAAUUUGCCGUGGGAUAUCUAACUCCAGAGAACAGAGUAGAAAUAUCAUAAAAGGGUUUUAACAACAAAGCAAUUUUCUUUCCUCUAACCCAAUCUUCAGAAGAUGGACAUGUGACAAAGUUACAGUCAAUUAACUUCAAAUGCGAAAAUGCACAUUCAAAGAAAAGGGCACCCUCAAGCAUUAGGUAUGUAGAAUUACAUCUGGUGGCCACAUCUUGACGUACCUUUUUACUGGUCUUUAAGCACGACUGCAAUAUACAUUCGGCAAAUUUAACUCUCCUCCCUUGUGUAGCCCUCACAUACUUGACAGCUUCUCUAAUAUUAUGUAAGGAUCCAUCAAUAACCUUUAAACCUUCCUGUACAAUUAGACUUAAAACAUGUGCACCACAACGCACAUGAAAAAAUUGUCCAUCACAUAACAAAGAAGAUCUCACAGAAGGUGUAUUUCUCCAAAUAUCAAUCAUACUGUCAUUGUAUGAUGCAUUAUCUAAAGUGAUGCUGAAGAUCUUUCUCUCAAUGCCCCAUUCUCUCAACAAAGACAGCAAUUUUUCUAAAAGUAUGACACCACUAUAUGGAGGUGGCACAUAGGAGAAACACAAGACUUUUGAUUGCAAUUCCCAAUCAUCAUCAAUAUAAUGAGCAGUGACGGUCAUAUAAUGAUCCGUAGUAAUAGAAGUCCAUAGGUCAGAAGUCAAACAUAUUCGGCUCGAAAGAGACAAUAAUUUGGAUUUCAAAAUUCCCUUCUCUUUCUCAUAAACUUUUAGCACAUCACUUCUUGCUGUAUUCCUUGAUAUGUGCUUCACAUUAGGGUUGAGGUAACUAAACAAUUCUCUUGUUCCCUCAUGCUCUACAAAAGAGUAUGUAUAAUUGUGUUUGAUUAUCGCUCUUGCAAGCAUAUCUCUAAACACACCUCGGUCAAAUUGUACCACAGAACCAUCAACAUUAACCUCUCGGUUGGGACAAGUAUUUAAAUGACGCAACAAGUUUUUUGUCCCAUGGCUAGCCAUAUAAGUUACUUCACACCAUUUACAUUUAGCCUUACUCAUGCCAUCACCAUCUGUGAAUUUUUCGAAUUCAGACCAUACAACCGAAGUGUGUUUUCUUGAACGCUUAGAGGAAGUAGAGAUAUCUUCCUCAUCCUCAUGAACUAAGGAUGUAACUCUCUUGGAUCGGUCGGUAGUUGAAUAUUCUCCUUGAUCCUCGCUAUGUCUUGACAUGUCAACUAACAAAUCUUAAAUCAUAAGAUAAGCCCCACCUCAAUAUUUGGGCGAACAACACAAACAAGCUCCCCACAAACUCGUAAUGCUUCUGCUGUGACUUUGUAAUAUCUCUCACAAAUAGUAGAUAAAACAGGGGAGGAAAGCACCUAAAAUAUCAUAAUAAAAACAGAGAAAGUAAACACCCUGCAGCUGAUUUUGUAUAAACCCAACUCAGAAGCAGGUAGCAUAAACAGUUUAUAUACACAGCAAAGGUAGGAAUUAUACCGUCGAACAAAAGAUGACAGAAAACCGUCGAACAGUUACAAACUUUCCAAUAUAGAACCUAAUUCAGCAGCCCGAAACAGAAUGACCCAAUAAACAAAUCAAUCCGGAAGGCAAGAACAGAGAAACCAAACCGGAUCACCGAAAAGACCCUGCGCACCAGCUCAAGCAAUAGCAAACUGCAAAAUGCUGGAACAAAACAACAGCUAGUGCACGGAGCUCCCACUCUGCGCGGGAUGAUGGGACAGGUCCGACCACUUUGGUUAUAAUGUACACAGAUUUUUGCAAGAAAAUUAUUUCUGCGACUCGAACCAGAGGUCACACAGCAACAACUUUUACCUGAAAUGCUAGUCCUAAAUGUAACCAAAUGCGUCGCUGCAGUUUAAAAAGCAAUGCAGACACUUUCAUAACAAGACCAAGGAAUCAAGUAAUAAUUUUUCUAUUUCACGUAGGUCCUUUUGAAAAAAUACAUGCGCACAAUUUCAAGAACACUGUUCUUAUUGUAAAGAUCACAAGAACAAACAGACGAAACAACAUGAAUGAAUCACUUUGGCCCUAGCUACCAUCCGCUUAGCAACAGUCAUGAGUUCCAUGAUUCAAUUUCUUGGCUUUCAAAUGAAGAACACGUAUCUACGGAGCCCGUGAUUGAGGUUAAGCUGCAUUGUAUUGGUAAUGAAAGACCCGUCGUUUCACCCGAAGAAUAAGAACCUUUGGAGCCCCCAAUCAAGGUUAACCAAUCGAAAAACCAAUCGGAAUGACCCACAUUGCAACUCAAUCCAAUAGAAAAACCCAGCAAGCCCCACGCCCCGAUCAGCUUGCCACCAAAGAAGAGGCCAAACCCAGAAACGAGACAAGCGAGAAGGGCGUGCCCGCGACACGAUUACUUACCCGGCUGUUACGAAAACGGCUUAGGUUUGCGGCUGAACUGCGCCGGACGACGGCGACGGAGAUCUAAAAAAGACCGCAGAUUCGCCCAAUCAAAGCGCAAUCGCUUUCCGCGGACGGCGAAGACGGCGACGACGGCGGCGGCUGCGGCAACUGACGGCGGAAGGAGAAGGAGUGCUCGGAAAAAGACAGGAAUUCACCGGCGAGCUCUCGGCCUCUGAGUCCCGACUUGCAGUACGUCGUACGAUGGAGGGAAAGCGAGAAAACGAAGACGUCGAAGAGGGAGAGUAAAUGGGUUCGCUUUAGUGGGUUGAUAAGUGGGUCAUAAAUGGGUUGAGAGCAGACUCAGACCCAUUUAAAACCCAUUUAUUUCAGCUUUUUUACUUUUAAAACUCAUUAUGGGUGCAAGCUUGACCCAUUAACGACCCAUUUAGCUAUAAAUGGGUCUAUAAAUGGGUCAUUGACCCAUUUUUGACACCCAUAGCUAUGAUAAAGAGAGAUAUUUAUUUAAAUGUUUUCUGUUUGGAGACUUUAAUUUCUCGAUACCUUUUUAUUUUCGUAAAAAAUGACUUGCACUAUGGAAAUUAAUCGAGAUGUGUGAAAUAUGGGCUAAAUCUUGGAUUUCCGAAAUUGAAAUUGAAUGAAAAGAAAACGUGAGUGAUUUGAUGAAAGAGAAUAGCCAUUUGGAAAUUGAUGGUGAAAAUAUGUAGAACAGCUCUUGAUUGGAAAAUAGGGAUGGAAAUCAAAGUGGAUAUUGUAUUUGGCGAUUGCAAGCAUUGCAUCAUGAAAUACUAUUGGAAAAAUAUCACCACAAUUCAUUUAUUUCACAAAAAAAUGAAUGAUUUGAAAAAAUGGAACUUAAUAAAUGAUACCCGCCACGACUUAGAGCUAACUAUCGGCUCCCAAGGGGCAAACCUAGAAUACUGUGCGCAAAAUAUUUCAUAUCAAGGCUAAAAUUACAUUGUAUUAGCAUGAGACGUAACAAACUCGAAAUGCAUAACUAUCGGCUCCCAAGGGGAAAACCCUUCUUUCCCUUUCUAGCUUUCUCCGGGAAAAUUUUCCGAUCCGUUGCAAACCGUUCAUCAUCUUCCGUUCUGUAACAGAUCUCGACGACCUGCGAGGCUGCGAUGGAGAUUCGCAUCGGAAGAGGCUAAGCGUGGGCCAUCGCCGCCGGAUUCAUGGCCGCUCUCGCUGCCAUUUCCGCCAAGUUCUUCUCCUCUCAGGUGACUCGACCUCAUCCCUUCAUCUCCGAUUGCGCGCUUGUUCGUGCGAGCUAAUCUAUAGUUGUCCCCCGCCGUUCUGCUUCGGCACUCGAGGCUGUGCGAUUGUUCCAGCCAAUGCAAAUCGAAAUCUGGCGUGUGUGUUGGACCGUGUCCCUAAUGUAUCUCCGGCCGAAGCACUCGACGUCGCGUGGCGCGAUGUGAGCUGCGGCCGAUAGCCGGUGCGCGGCGAUACGUCCAAUUUUUGGUUGUUUGAGGAUUAGCGGGAGCUCUAAUUGAGGAAAGCUCCUGCUAAUUCUACUACUUCUGUGGAGAGUAGUUGAAUAGAUUACCGAGAGGGAAGCUUGGAAGCUAUCCGAGCGGCCUGUCGUGGCAAUCGGUCGACGCCUGCUCAGUAGCAGAGGAGAGUUUCGAAAGUUGAGGGGACAAGCUUAGGAAAUUCGUGCAAAAUCUCAGUUUAUGAGAUGGGGAUGCGGACAGAGAUUCUUGGUGAAAUUUAAAAGAAGAUAGCAUAGGAAAUAGGAAAUGUUCGCCUAGCAGGCAGGCCAGGCGGGGCGGGGUUGGGGCAUCUGGAGAACUCUGACUGGAUAUUUAGAAGGGAUUGCUAUUGUACAAUCAUCUUCUCGAAGGUGAGCUUCACAGACUGGGUUGUUAUCUGUCAGGUUUAUAUUUUCACUGGGAUGAAGAAGAAUAGCAAAGAGAGAGAAAACAGAGAACGAUUAUUUACUGUUGCUCUUCUUUUCCCCAGUGGGUAAGUGCAUCUGUUAUUCGUGGUGUCAUUAGCUGCGGAUGUCAGCAUUUCGUAGUCAACUCAGUCUGAGAUUGGUGCUUUUGCAGUGAACUAGUUAAGUCCUACCAUGAAUGGAGUUCGUUUGGUUGUAUCUACCUUAAACGUUAAAUCGUCAUUCCCUGGCACAAUUAUGUGAAAAGAAUUAGACGUUUGAUUCUCUUUGCGAGAAAAAUGUUUCAAUGUCUGAGUCCAGUUAAUUAGAUUCCUAGGAAUUGACGAUGAGUGGUCACUGCACUGCACUAAAGCCUGUUAUUUGACAGGAAUCUUUUCCUCAUGCUCCUCCUUUUCCUCCAUUUCUUUUGACUGUAGGGGCAGAUUGUUUAAAGAUAUCUUUCAUGUGUUUACUGAUUGUCUAAGAUGCACAGUUAAGCAUAUAUUCUGUCAUGAUACAUCAUUGAUGAAUUUUCCCAGUAACUGUUGCCAUUAGAUGGGUGUUGUUAAUAAAUUGUGCAGUUCAUGAACUCGGACAUAUUUUUCCUGGACUAACACCCAGACAUCUGAAUUUAUUAACAGGUCAUUAAGUAUGGUUUUGUCAUACUGUUCAAUGUUACAAUGUGGGGAUGUUAUGUCAACAGCCUAAAGAGUCUCUCGUCUCUUCAAGCCACAGUUACGAACUUUGCGACAAAUUUCCUCACUUCUGGAUUAGCUGGGUUCUUUUUGUUUGAUGAGUCAUUGAGAUACCAGGUACUUUGAUUAACUAUUUUCCUGCCCUGUUCUGCAAAGUUAUAUACUUCAAGGUUUGAUUUUUUACUGUGUCUAAAAUAAGAGGCAAGCUCUUAUUGUUACAGCCGGAGCUGUCAAAAGUAUUUUUCACUGAUACAAGUAAUAUCAUGACUGCAUUUAGUUCCCUCAAGAGAUAAAUUCUCCCUAUGGAAUCGGAACUGGUUAUCUUGAAAGUGGCAAGUAGGCUAAAAUUUAGGAGUCAAGUUAUGCAAUAGAUAACUUCCGAGUUUAUUAUCUCAUGAAUGCAUUGAGGGUGAGGAGGGUUUUAUAUUUCAGAUGAAAGCUUCUGAGAUCAAUGUGGUUGCCAAGGAAAAGAGUUAGCUCGCUUCAUGCAAACCUGUUGUUCAGGGAUUCUUGGCGUAGUCUCCACCUUGCGAUAAAAGGUGUCGAGUACUUCCUAGUUCCUGAUAAUGACUUGAGUUUUAGGUUUAAUCAUUGCUAUCUUGACUCACAUUAUGGUUGUGAUAUGGUUGUGAAAUUGUGAUUAAAAGGAUGCAGUGAUUGGAGAUUCUCACUCCACUUAGUCUAUGAAUGCAGAUUUCACAAAAUUCACAUGAAGUCCCGUUCUUAGUGGUUUGCAGGUGCACUUUUCAUAGUGAUUGGCGUGCUAAUUCUCAGCAAAUCAAGUAUUGAGAAGAAAAGUAGAGUUGAUUGAAAGUUCUCAGUUUAUGAGAGAUACCAUACGCCAUGCUUGAAGGUUGCCCCCUUUUGCUACUGGCAACAGUUGCUCUGCUGCUUUGGUUUAUGCUUUUCUUUCCCUUCUCCCUUUUAAGUGCCCGAACUGCCUGUUCUCAUUUAUCUUUUGUGGAUUUGCAGGUGACUUAGUAGAGAUCAGAAGUUCCAUUCUUGUGCCACUCUCAAGGAAAGGAGAAAAUGAAGUUGAGAAUUGAGGAUAUAAAGGGUGUUUCCUUCCUGGCCGGUGAUUCCGUGUGAACGAUCACUACUUUUCGUGACUGGCAGCACCGAGGAUGCUAUGUUGUUAAUGCCAGGAUUGCUAUGUUACUGUUAAUGGUGACUAUACAAUAUAGCUACAAGGCAAGCUGCAAAGAAGACAGAUUUGUGUUUAGAGAUGGGAUCCUAUCCUACCUUUUCACCAUGCCAAACGAGUAGGCUAAAACAUUGGUAAGUGAACCCUAAUUUAGGCGCUCUCGAAAGGCUGAAUGUGUCGUGCGCGCUUCGUGAGCGUGAAGCUAAAAGAUCAUCUUUACAUUGAUAUAAAUCAAGGCCUUG